AUAUCUUAUUUGUUUGCCCACAUUUAAAUGGUAUAAGACUACUUUCAUUUUCAUUGAUAUCUGCUGUUUAUCCAAGCACAUUUAUGCUUGCCUUCUUAAGAUAAAGAGCUAGAGAGAAAAAGGAGUAUAGAAGAAAAACAAAUUAAUGGAUAUCAACAAUUAACCAGCAGGAAACAAAAACCACCACUAUUGCACAAACAUGGUUCAUCUUAGUGUACAACGCCAACUCAUCAUCUCGACUUGCCUAUGCAAUGCAACGUGAAACAAAAGACACACAUGCAUCUCGCAGCAUCAAUCAAUCCACGUACGUACACCCUCUCCGAUCCGAAAGACAAUGAAGUUGCAUAGCAUAGCCGUUGAGCUUAGUUGCCGGGGACGAAGUUGGUGGCGUAGGCCCAUGCGUUGUUGUUGACUGGGUCAGCGAUGUGGUCAGCGAGGUUCUCGAGCGGGCCCUUGCCGGUGACGAUGGCCUGGACGAAGAAGCCGAACAUGGAAAACAUGGCGAGGCGGCCGUUCUUGAGCUCCUUCACCUUGAGCUCGGCGAAGGCCUCGGGGUCGUCGGCCAGGCCGAGGGGGUCGAAGCUGCCGCCAGGGUACAGCGGGUCGACGACCUCGCCGAGCGGCCCGCCGGCAAUGCGGUAGCCCUCGACGGCACCCAUGAGCACGACCUGGCAGGCCCAGAUGGCGAGGAUGCUCUGCGCGUGGAUCAGGCUGGGGUUGCCGAGGUAGUCCAGCCCGCCCUCGCUGAAGAUCUGGGAGCCGGCCUUGAACCAGACGGCCUCGCCGAACUUGACGCCGUUGCGGGAGAGCAGCUCGGGGAAGACGCAGCCGAGCGCGCCGAGCAUGGCCCAGCGGGAGUGGAUCACCUCCAGCUCGCGGUUCUUGGCGAAUGUCUCGGGGUCGGCGGACAGCCCGGCGGUGUCCCAGCCGUAGUCGCCGGGGAACUCGCCGGUGAGGUAGCUCGGGGGCUCGCCGGAGAAGGGGCCGAGGUACUUGACGCGGUCGGGGCCGUACCAGGGGCUGCCGGACGCCGCCACCUUGGGCUUGCCCACGGUCUUGCGCAUGGUGAUGCGGCCCUCGCCGAAGGAACCCACCUUGAUGGGGGUGCCGGCCAUCGCCGUGGAGGAGAUCGCCAUGGUGGAGGCAGCCAUUGCUGAAGCUGAGCGUGAAAGUGUUGGACCGGUUGCUAUAGAUGCCGCUGGUGGAGUGUACCGUGGGGGGCGCACCUGGCUAAAUAGCGUCGCCGGCGAUCGGGUCCUUAUCUCGUGGAAUCUUAAGACGAGUUGCCAUUGGCUCGCCGGAGGUGAGGUGGGCGGAUGGGGUGGCUGAUGUGGCCGCGCGCUGGCCACCAGGUCUCCGCCAGUCGCCAGAUAUUCUCACCGCGCCGGGCUUUUGUUUUUGCCGUGCCCGGUGCCCCUCGCGGUGAAUUUUGCGGCGUCGCUAGGUGUUGGGCUCGCUGGCGUCCUAUUGGCCGGUUGAUCUGAUACUGGCAGAUAUUUCGGUUGGUGUGAGUGUGACGUGGCCUCCCCUCCUUCGGAUUGUUCUAGAUCAAUUGAUCCAUUUGUGGUUGUGGUUUGCCUUGACUAGUGGUAGUGGGUUCAUCAGUUCAUGACGCUCGGCUUAGGUGGGCUAGGCUCAAAAGCUCAACUCAGAAUAGUUUUGGGCUAGGCCUUGUUCUGUAAGGGGUCGGUUCGUGGGCAACGAGGACUCCAAACGGGCUGCGUGCACGGACAUCUCACCCUUGUCGCGGCGUCGUGCACCCGAGUAGGCCGGUUGUGUCGAUCUGUGGAGAGGAGACACGUCACGUUACGAUCCCCAACUUAACGCCGAUCGGAGGCCGGAGAGACCGGCUCAGCCUCGCUCCGCCGCCGCCGGCGACCAUGUCCCUGGCGGCUAUCUUCGUCUUCCUCAUCGUGUCCGCGCUGCAGCUGCUCUACCGCUACCUCGACCUCGCCAGAAAGGUCAGCGCCGCCCCCCUCCCCAUCGCGCGUUGCGCCUCCCAUCCGUCUCCUAGUCUCGAGACCUGGAUCUUCCGUGAAUUCUGAUUGGGCGGAAGAGUAGCCUACCAUCAGUUCCAUCUAUUUCGUCCAUGAAUUGAACUCUGAUUCCGAGGAACUAUUUCCCAUGGCCCUAGACAGUUUGGAUUUUGAUGCAAAUUUCUCAACCUUUGGCCGAGGCGACUGUAACUGUUGAAUGCAGGCUCGAGUCUUUGUCUUCCCGGUCUCCCUAUCUGUUAGCCUGUAGUCUGCGGUUUUGUAUUUAUUUCGCUCUAGUGUUUCCACUUGCCACUCAUGCGUUCUGUGCUUUUGUCAUCCAGAGCGGAGGACUUAGUGAUGAGCAGAUCAAAGUGCGGCUUGAAAUCAAGCAACUUCUCAAGGAGGCUGAUCAGUUGUCAACGUAGGCAAUUAACCUUCCUUUCGCUGUGACUCAGAGUUUCCCUAUUGAUCGAAGAAUGAUUUCCAACUGCAAAUUACUCCUCGCUUCUUUGCCUGUAUGUCUGCUGUAGGCCGUCCACAUUUGCACAAGCUGCUAAACUCAAGCGCCUGGCUGCUGCCAAGGAGAAGGAACUGGCAAAAAGUGAGUGCUGAACUCUCAUUGUCUUGUUCUGUAGCUAUUCGUCUAAUCGUCUUGGCCUCAUCGCUUGUAAGUUGUAAUACAGUACCGGAAGGCCCUGUAUUUUUGGAAAUGCUAGGUAGUUGCAUUCCGUAGCAUUGCUGUUGUUUGUUCGGGAGCAAAAUUUAGCUUCUUUGUUAUUUGUGCAAAAUGAGGUGAUGCUCCCAUGAUGCAUUUUAACCUUCAUAACUUUUUUUUCCUUUGCCUGCUUUACAGUGCAGGAACAUGACCUUAAAGGGAAGCAAUCCUUAUACGACAAAUACACAAAAUUUUUGUUGGUUACUAAGGUGCUCCUAUGUGAACUACCUUCUAUGUCUGGUUUUCUUGUUUUGCCAUGUGCUAUACCUUAUUAAUACUAAUCUUGUUCAUCAAAUAGGUCAUAAUUUAUGCUGUGCUCGUUCUGUGCUUUUGGAGUACUCCUGUAACUGCAGUUCCACAACAUCUUCUACAGCCCUUCGGUAUGUUGAUGCCACUCGCCAGAGUGUUCUAGAUUGAUUGUUACUCGGUAUUAGCCCCUUGGGUGAUGCACGAGUGACUAGUCUAUUUAUUUAUCAGCAGAAUAUAUCCAACAUAUUAAUAGUCUGGUUGACUUUUGCACAAUUUGAAUCUGAGAACUGCGAGAGGAAAUUUUCACACACCUAGCAACACUGACCCAAUAUGUGGAGUGACUUACUUCCCACAUUCAUUUCACAACUACUGCCAGAAUAUAAAUGAAUAUGAUUUUAUACAUAUGACAUACAAGUACUACGGUAGAAAGGCUGUGAAUUGUUGUCCGAAAAAAAGGUAACUCGUUUGUGCAAUCCAAGCGAUUAUCUAAAGGGUCAAUGCUGCAUCACUAGAUCUUUAGAUCCAUUUUCAGAUCAGCAAUAUAACUAUUUGCCUUUUGGGUUGUCGAGUAGCAACAUUCUUCGUAGAUGGACAUCCUUAUGUAUACUGUCAGGAAACAAUUCAUUUUCUUUGAUUUCUCUUAGUUUCUUACAUAUGUGUGGUUCAUGUAACCAAUAAUAAUAAUGGUGACACUUCAAAUGUUUUUACAGGAAAAAUGUUUUCCUGGAGAGGUGUUGAUACUGCCACCGGCAAUGUUGUGGUAAAUACUGAUUACUGUGGACCUUUUAAACUUUAUGGGACACUGCAAUUAAGAUAGCUUUAUUCGAUUCAUUGGUGAAAUGCUGACAUGAAUCGAAAUAACAGCAUUACGUCUGUGGAGUUAGCUUAGCUUACUUGUAUGUAUGAAAGUGGAUGGAUGAUGAUCAGAGAAACCCACUUGCUCCAAAUUUCCCUAGUAGCCCUUGAACAUGGUGUGCCCUCAGGGGCGGAUCUGGGCCCAGGGCUGGGGGCUGCAGCUCAGGCUCAGGUCCAGCCCCGAAUACCUCCAUGUAGUAUACCCCCUCAACAUCCCAUGGGAGAUGCAGCUAAGAAGGCACAGCCCCACCCGUUGAACACUAAAACAUAGCACUUCAGUCUGAGAUGCUGCACGCAAAUCUCCUGCUGUGAAUUCGUUUUUUUCGUCUUCUUCUUCGUUGGCGGCACUCUUCCAGCCCCGGACCCCAGAGGCCCAGACCUUAGAAUUCUCUCGGAAUCCCCAACCCUUCCUCGGGCUGACCCGCUGCCUGCCCUGGCUCGUGAGUCAUGACCCUUCCGGUAGCGUUUGUCUGCUUGCCACAGCAUCCACCACGUCAGGACCCAAGACGCCAACUCCAGUUGUCUGUGCCCCUCUCGGCCUCUCCCCUGCUGUGUUACAAUGCUGCUAGCAGCACAGGUAUUGGAAGAAAAAAUACAAAAUUGAACCUAACCCAUUGUGAUUGUUGAUUAUUAUUUUUUAUAAUAAUUGGUUCUAGUUGGAUUGUGGUCGGAGUGAGAAAGAUCAAAGACGUGUCCAAAAAUAGAGGGAAAAGGGCCAUGGAUUGAUGUAUGACAUUCUUUGUUACGAUUUUUGUACCCACAAAGUUGCUUUAGAUGUUGUUUCACCAUUUUUGAAUCGAUAUUAUUGUCUGUGAUCCUUAUUCAUAAAUUAUGUAUCAUUUUUUUAGUUUACCUUUAACAAUAUCUGUAAAGUCGAUGCGCCACUGAUGUGCCUUGUAUGCAAUGCUACUAGGUGGAAAUCUGCACCUUGUUUUUUUUUCCCCGCAGUCCCUGACGUGGUGGUUGCCCUGGUGCAGGUUGGAAUACUCCCGUGGCUGUUUUUGACCUCUCGGGUCAGCAAGAUGCUGUGCCAGAAACUGGGCUUCGUGCUUGUGCGUCCGUAGCGCCUUUCCAUGAGAAAGUCAGCAAGUUGCUGCACCUAAACAAGACUGCUAACUUUGUUCUUCUUCUAUAUCUUUUUAUAAUCAACUGUUUCACUUAUUGUCCACUAUAUACUCUGUCCGUUCUUUUUUAAUUGUCGUGUUUUAGUUUAAAAAUUAGCGGGCGAUAAAUAUUCGAGAACGGACUUGUAGUCAUAUAAAUUUGCUGUGCUAUGUGCUCAAGCGGAUACGUGUAUAAGUUACUAGUAGCCGUGAAUGAUGUGUAGUUUUUCCCCCUUUCCCUACCGCGGGCAUCCCUGUGGUGUUGCUAACCUGUCAAACUGCAUCCACGAGGGGUCUGAAAUUGUGCCCUUUUCCAGCGAAGCAGUGGUGCUCUUGGCAGGCCGGGGGCAUCUUUCAAUUCGAGAAAGAGGAAACCGUUGGACCAUCACGUCCGUCAGUCCAUGCCCGUGCAGCCGUGCUCCCAUGCCCCUGCUCCAGCCAAUUAGAGCUUCGGGACAAUCUCCUUUGGGCAUGUGCGUCAGCAAUGGCGGGUUAACAGUGAAAGUACCAGCAGAACACCAGGUUCUCGGUCUCUCCGAGAAAACAAUGGCACGAAGCUCGAGGCACUACGGUUUUCUCUCUCUCUUCGCCCUUGCGUGAAGAAGACCACAUGGAGAUGGAGGAGAUUCUUUUGCCCUCCGCCUCUCACUUCCUUCCGCACUAUCAUCUUCUAGAAAACCAGGCUAGGCUGGCUUCACCAAAAGCCGUUAAAGGUCUCACCUAAAAUUUUAAGGAGAUCUUAUAUACGAAUGAAAAUGGUUUAGAUAAUCUUGGACUAACUAAAAUCGAAUUUUAAUAUAUGGAUAAGGAUUUAGAUAUCCACAUGGACAUAAACAAUCUAAAUUCGAUAAAAUAUGGUAUCGACUUAUUCCAUAGAUGUGGACUAUCCAGUAAUUAAAAGUAGUUUGUUUGAGUCUUACAAUAGAAUUAUCUGACAACUUAAAGCCCAUGAUGUUUAGAAAAACUAAAAAGGUAAAGUGAAAUUUGCGGUUGUUGUCAACCAUGCUAUUUGUUAUCGGCUUUAGCACUUAACUCUUUUAGGCCACUUAAUUUGUGUUCAUUGAUAUAGGUUAUGUAUAGACACAUAGUAAAAAUUAUGUAUUUGGAAAUAUCAAAACACCUUAUAAUUUAAAAUAAAAGGAGUAUCAUGUGAAUUUUAUUUGCCAGAUUACAUAGAUCAUUAUUUAAAAAGGAUCAAUGAAUGUGAUUAAUUUGUGUUCAUUGACGUGUUAUGACUUUUUGUUCUGCUUUCAUGAUUUAUUAAUUACUAGACUUUAUGCGCAUAAACAUAUAUUAUUGACCUAUUUAAGUUUGAAACUAUUUCACUGCUCCAACUCCAUACCAUUUCCAACAUUAAAAAACUAUGUUCACACAUGCAUCUCACGCAUAAAUGGAAAAUAGCAUAUGAAGAAACCAUUAUUCAUUCCAUUCCAAUCCACUUCCAUCCCUAGUAUUAUACUUAGUCAGUGGCGGAUCCAGGAUUGAUAUAAGACAGGGGCUACUAAGCUAAUGUUAUAAAAAAAUUUAAACCAAAUAAAAAGAUCUAAUUGAUUUUUAAUAUGACACAAGAAGCAAAAUAAUUUUAUCAAAUCAAACUAUAAAUACCUAGCAGGCUAGCACAAGGUUGACGAUUCAAAGCAAAACAAACAGGAGCAGGCAGUAGCACACGGUUGUUUUCACCAAAUCACCUUCACUGGUUCAGAGAGUCUGGCUGGCGUUAGGUUCAGCAACAGGCAGCAGCGUCCAGCCGCCCAACUGCAUCGUGUAUUCAGCGCUCAGCCGUCCAGCAAAUCUGCAAAAGCAAAACAGAUUCAGUCACCGAUUAGAGCAGCAAGCAGGAGCUGGGUCUGGCGGGGGGCCGAGGGCGAGCUGCUGACGGACGGGAGGACGAACACGGGCCGGUGCGACGGUGCCGACGUGCUGCCGUGGGCUCGUGUCGCGCCUCGCGACCACGCGACGAAGAGGCGGAGAGACGUGUCGCGCCAGCGAGGCCGCGAUAGCGUGUUCGUGAUAGAGCGCCGCCGCGCCAGCCGCCGGGUGCCAUUGCCGACGAUGGACGGCGCUAGUCAUCGAGGUGUCGCAGUGGGCAGGGGUCCGAGCGAUGGCUAGACCAUAGCCGCGAUCGGGAGAGGCUAGGAGCGGCGAGCAGGUGAUGUCGUGAUGGAGCUAAGCCGCUUGAGCGUGACCUAUUUUUCCUGGACUUCGUGGGCCUAUUCGCUAGAACUACUGGGCCGCGACCGGGGCUACAGCCCGGGCAGCCCAGGACGUGGAUCCGCCCCUGUACUUAGUUGUUGAUGUGGAUUACAAUGAACAUAUUGGUAUGAGCUAAAUCACUAGCUAUAGGUAUGAACGAUAGUAUAAGAAGUGACAUACUACUAGGGGUAGUAGGAGGGCCAUAAAUAAAUGUUAGUUUAAAAAUAAAUAGAAAUAUGAUCUAAUCCUAUUUCGAUCUGAUUUUUAAAUCUAAUAAUAUAAAAUUUAGAGUCUAUUGUCACUCAUACAUACGAUAUUGGGGGAUGAGGAAGAAAGGUGUGGUGGGGAAUUAGAAAUUUUUCUUAGCUCUGGUAACGUGUUGAAGUGACACAGAACAAGUUCCUAUAGAUGUACUCAAUCACUCGUGUAUAUAUAAAUGCACAAGAAAAUAAUUUGCAUGGCGGGAACAAGCGCUGCCAACGAAAUCAUAAGCCUUUAUAUGAUAAGUAACAACACUACCAAUAUUCGAGAGUGUGGCCCUUUCGUAUUAUAUAUGUAUAGUAUUUUAUUUUUAACAUAUUUUUUAUUAUUAAUAUAUAUAAUCUCCAGUCUUUAAUGGAGAUUCUUAUGGCAUCAGAGGCCUAGUAUCUCGAUCUGUAGUGAUAUAUAUGCUGCAUACUAAGGUCAUUGGUGGUACGGUGCACGGAUUCAUGUUGCCACGCUCUGAUCACUCUUGCUAUACCAGGGACGCUACAACAGCUCGGUACACUACGCGGUUUCAGCCGCCCCCGCAAACAUCGGUCAGACGGUCACAUUAGUGAAGUUACAUUACAGACUACUCGUUAUGGUUCGUCAACUUAUUCGACUCGUAAUUAGUUCGACUUAGUUUAUUUUAUUUUAUUUAUGAGAUGAGCUAACAUCUCAAAUCGGGUUGUUAAAAAUACAGCUCGAGUAAAACUUGAGCCAACUCAUGUACUCAAAUAAACUAACAUUUGUUAGUAGAGAUGUUCAGAGAGAAAAUGUUCCGAAGAAGGACAAGAAGUAGGUACUAUUAGCCAUAUUAGUGGCUACUUUAUUUUUUUGGGGACUCUAGUGUUUAAAAUUCCCUAUAUUAAGCUCCUUUGUGUUGCAUGCCAUUUAUGUAUAAACUGAUGAACAUGUUACAUGUAUGUGGAUAUAGUCUGCGAAUUAAAUUGAUGAUUAAUAAUAUGUGUGUUAAUUGAUUUGUAUAACUAUAUUUAUAUGUUAAACUGAUGAACAUAUAUAUUGUGUAAGUACUUGUGUUGAAUGAACUUGAUGAAUUAUGUUAAUUUGGUGUUGGAUUAACUUGACUUGUGAAAAUAUGAACAUUAUUACACUUUAUAUUGUGAAAAUAGUUUAGAAUUUAAAAGCAAAUGAUUGCAUCGUCCUAAAAUAUCUCAAGGAAUGGCUUAAAGAGAUCACAAAUAACUUUUAUUGAAUCAUUUUCAUGUGGAUAAUCAUCACCGAGCCGGUUACCUAGUUCGUUCGAUAUCAAGCCGUAACUACUACACAAAACACAAGUUACACAACCCCGGCUCCCGCUGGCGCACACGCUCCUCACGUGCCGCACCCGAAACGUCCCAAGAAAAAAGGGAGAAAACUCACCGAAAAGUCUACCCACCUGGGCCCUGGCCACCUCCCCCCUGCUCGCUCACGACCCCCAACACGCGAGUACGCGACGACGCCCCUCACAAAAACAGGGGCCAAAAAGGAUAAAAAAAAGUGGGGAAAAGAACGCCGGGAAUGGGCAAGCAGCAGCAGGCGCCACCGGCGCGGCGGUCCCCGGCGAUGUCGGCGCCUCCGCCGCCGAAGCGCCGGAAGAAGAAGGGCCGCCCGUCCCUGCUCGACCUCCAGAAGCGGAGCCUCCGCCUCGAGCAGCAGCAGCUACCCCAGGGGCGCCGCUCCAACCGCAGGAGCGCCGGCUCCGCGGACGAGGACGACGAUGGGCCCGCCUCCGGCUCCGGCCGCCGCGAGAAGAAGCUGCGCCUCGUCAUGGGCCUCCACGACGGAUCAGCCAAGGUGGGCGCCCCUCUCCCCACUCCCUCGAUCUGAGCCGAUUCCGACCCAAUUCUGUCGAUCCCGGGCGGAAUUUGCCUAAUUUGGGCGCCCUGGCCUGGGUCGGCGUACGGAUCUGCGCAGCCGCACGCCGCCCGAGGAAAUUUCAUUGCUAUUUUUGGUAUGAAAAGGGCGCGUUUAUUUAUUUAUCUCCGUAGUAAGGGCCUCAGUGGUCAACUCCGCUCCGCUCUGCACAGUCUGGGUGAUAUAUAAUCCUAAACCCUCGCGUAGUAUCUUCGGCCUGUGGUGGCAAUAAUUGGACAAUUUUUUUUUAAAACGCCGCGUCUCCGAGCUAAGGCGUCCGCUUUUCGGGUUUGGUUUUUGUCAGGUUCUCGCGCCAAAAUUCCGCUGCAUUUCGCGCUCUCCUUAGAUCUCUGUACUUGGUAACUGGGCCUGGUAAACGAAAGCUUACCCCGCCUUUUCUGCUGCUUUUUUUCUACUCCGGGGAGGUUUCCGAUGCUUGUAAAUAUUUUUAAUUUCUAUAUGUUCUGUUUUUAAAUUUCUUUUUUUAUCUUAACCGCUGCUGCCGCAGGGAGAAAAGAUGAGGAAAGCGACGGAUGGGCGUGAAGGUUGGUGCUCCUUGGUCUGUGGCAUUUACUCUUCAGAUUUCCACAGGGGAAAAAAUAUACCUGGAUAAAUGUGCACGAAGAUGCCAUUUUUAAUUCUGUUACUGUUGGAGGCAUUCCAAUUUUCUCAUCUUUAAUCACUGCUCGUGCCUCUGUUUGCCCUGUGCUUAUGGAUUGGAUUUGUUCAUUCGACAGAGCCGUCAGAUUCCGGGCCCACAACACCUUUACCGAACAAAAAGUUGUUGCUCUUCAUCCUCGACAGGCUACAGAAGUGAGUUGCUGUGCUCGUUGCUUGUUCUUCCUUCAGCUUCUCAUUCUCAGCUCCAGGACUUCUGAUCUUUGUGUGUCCUGGUUUCUUGCAGGAAGGAUACGUAUGGUGUAUUUUCAGAGCCUGUUGAUCCUGAAGAGGUUUGUUUGCUUUAGAAAUGACGACGCUACAUGUUUGUUUUCUUUGGUUUGAUUAUCAAAACCACUGAUUUACCUGUUCAUGUCCAAUUAUUGCCAGCUACCUGACUAUCAUGACAUUAUAAAGCAUCCAAUGGAUUUUUCGACAAUAAGAAAGAAGCUCGAUAAGGAGGCCUAUUUCAACUUGGAGCAAUUUGAGGUGAGUUAGAGGAUUUGUUUAGAUUGAUAUUUUUAUUGGAUUUUCCUUCAAUCAGCCAGCAAAUUCUGUCUGUUUGCUUGGUAAUAGCCUGUAAUAAGCUGGUGUGCUUUAUUCAAAGAUUGGUUAGAAACUGUUUGUACCGUUUGGCUUUGGGGCCUCUUGCUUUACGCUUGUAUCCUGAUUGGCUUUGGGAGCAGAUGUUUACUCUCGUCGACAUCUGGGUUUUCCUGUUUAGUAUUGUUUCUGAUGGCAUUCCAUUGUACUGAAUCUCCAGACCUGAUUUUUAUAGGCAAUAUAAUCACUUUCAAGGUUGGCAGAACAUAUAUUUUUGUCAUGUAAAUUCCCUUAACAAUUAAUUUAGAAUGUACAUUUUAGAUCAAGUUUAGUCUGGUAAUAUUCUUGUUUGAGUGAAGCACUUACGCCUAGGAUCUAUCUUAUUCGUUCCAUAACAGCACUUUUACCAGCAAAAAGUUUGUCCAACAGACCAACACUAUCUUUGCAUUCGAUGACCUAUCCAAGAUUGUUUCUACUGAGUUGCUCUACUUAGGCAUGUAAACCCAGUAACUUAAAGGGAACACCUGUUUCUUGUUCGAGAUUCUCCGUUGUUUUUCGACAGUUCAAGCACUGAGAUUAACAUCUGAUAUAGACUGAGACAGAACUGUGCUAGGUUAGCAGACAACCUAUUAACUUCCUGUUUGCCUUUUGCGAUUGUGUUAUGGACCCUAACUUUUCACGGGCAUGAUUUCUCUGAUUUUUGCUUUUCAACUAUCUGGAUGAGUUUAGAUUAUAUAAUACCUAUAUAGUUAUAUAUUUAUUCUGCUGAUGUGCCAAGAAAAAACUCAGGCAUCCCAUGUCAUGUUUGAUGCAAUAUAAGAUUGCAAACUUAACAGCAUGAUCGAUGCAGAAGAUUUUACACAUUAGAAACUUGCUAAGAGAACACUUAUAUAUGCCAUUUGGCCUCGUAGCUGGGAUAUCAAUGUUCUCUUGCAAGUUUACACACUAGAAACUUGCUAAGAGAACACUAAUAUAUGGUUCCAUACAUACAACUAGGCAGGAAAGUGCAGUAUUCUGUUUGAAAAUAUAUGAGCACAAGAAGUGCACAUUAUACAAUGUAAUGUUGACAGUAAUUUUUUUAUUAUGGUAAAGAUGAUCAGCACGCUGUUAGAAAAUAUAAAAUGGCCUUAUCUCGUUAGGCGAGAUGCCUUGAUUCAUUUUUAGAAGUUCAUGACAAGAUGGGUAUGGGCUCGGACACCAUAUAUUGUGUUAAGUUCAAAUGCCACCUAGGGAUUUAAAGUUCUAGAUGUGCAAAAAGUUAUACAAGCACUAUGCUUCCUGCUGCCUAUGAUAGGAUGCUUUCAAUUGAGAAAGCUCAUUAUUUGAAUAAAGGAACACUCUAAAUAGCAUACGUUCUUCCCUUUUUGCAAGUAAUUCAUGCUCAGAAAAAAAAUCAAGAGCCCAUGUGCCUUGUUUAUGCCAGUUCAUGUUGGCAAAUCGUAUUCAAGCUGUACCUCAGUUGCUAAUUCAUUAGGCAUUAUGAAGUGUGUUGGACCUCAGUUCGAAUUAUGUGUUACUUGAAAGAGGAGGCAUGCAUUUGGUAAAAUGCUAUGAUUUCAAACUUUGUAAUGUCUGAACAGGACACUAUGCUUUAGGUUACCAUUUUGCAGCUUUUAGCUAAUGGAUUUAGUUAUAAUGCUGACUUGCGCGAAAGGGCCUCUAGCUGAGUUGGUUAGGUGGUCUAAGUAGCACAUUCAGGUCCUGGGUUUGACUCCCCGUGGGAGAGAAUUUUAGGCUGUGGUUAAAAAAAAUUCCCUCGUCUAUCCCACGCCAAAGCACAGGUCUAAGGCUCAGCCCCGGUCGCGGUCGUUCUCACAUGGGCUUCGAUGCCGCUGUGUAUGGGUGGGGCAGGGGUUCGGGGGUUUUCUCGACCUAUAUGAGAAGGUCUUCUUAAUACAAUACUCGGGGGCUGUCUUACCUCCUGCAGGUCGAGUUUUUUUUUUAUAAUGCUGACUUGCUACUUGAUAAGUAUCCAAUGUGUAUAUACUGCUGUAACGUCAUGGAUUUUCUAACCUGUAAUUUCGCCACCCAUUUGACUGUUGCAUGGAACAUCAUUAAAGCAAGCCACUUUUAUCCCAUAAUCUUCUGUGCUCAGACAUCUUUGCUGGUCAUCUCUGAAGAAUGAAGUUGGUAAUCAGUGCACAUUUGAGUACUGGUGUGUCACUGUUUAACCAAAUGUGCAUACUGCAUCAUGUGUAUUAUCAGUGCUUGUUGAAAGCAUAACGGCUUAUUCCCGCAGUCAUGCUAGAAGAAUGCCACAUUUCUGGAACGAAUAUGAAUAUUUGGUAUUGUUUUUAUCAUUCCUGCAGUUCUGCUGCAAAGUACUAUUUCUUUCCUGGCCUCAGAAUGCUACUGAUGUUUUAUCAAGCUCAUUCAACUUGACUGAAACUUCAAUUUACAGGAUGAUGUGUUCCUGAUAACCUCCAACGCGAUGUGUUACAAUUCACCAGAUACAAUAUACUAUCGACAGGUCAAACAUUAAGCUUACAUGUUAUGAUCUUUGAAUGUAAUUAUGAAGUAUGGUGCAUUUAACAUCCAUAUGCUAUGCAUAACAGGCACGAGGUAUUCAAGAGAUUGCUAAAAAGGAUUUUGAGAAUCUUAGGCAAGAUAGUGAUGCCAGUGAACCAGAACCGGAACCAGAACGAGAACCCAAGCCGGAGCCCGAACCAGAAGAACCAAAGCCACAGCCUCGCCGGGGCAGGCCUCCAAACAAGAAUAAUGCCAAACAGAAAGUUGGGAAGCCACCAGCAGAACGUGCCACUGCAGACUUUUCUGGUGCAACACUUGCUACUGCGGCAAAUAUUGGACGGCAUGCACAGGCAGAUGUUGAUCUGUCACGAAGAGUAAUGGAUAAAGCGAUGAUUGCGGAUGUGUUGAGAGCUUCUUUUGCCAACCUAAGGAAUGAGCACAACUGGUCUGGUGAGCGGAAGUUUGAAAGACUUGAAGCUUACUCAGGUUUUAGCUUAUCUUUUUUUUCUUGUUCUUUCAAAAGGUGUCUUUUGAAGGGUAAACAUUUAAUGAGUACUAACUGAACAAAAGGACUAGGCAUCCAAUCUGGCUAACUCAAAUUUCUUUUAACCUUCGUUGUGGUCGCUCUCUUUUUCUAGGUUAUGGGGGUACAUGGUCUGCAAAAACGGGGAAGAGGCCGAUUCUGAUGGAAGAUAGUCGCCGGAGCACAUAUUAUGAGACUCAACCAUCCAGUUCAAUAUAUGAGCUGCCGGUAUCGUCCUCCUACAAUGGGACCGAGAAGCUGCUAGUACCAGUUGAGUGUCCAAUCCAAAAUGUCCUAUAAGUAACUGACGAUUUACUAAUAUAAUUUCAGUCUCCUAUUAACAUUAGAGAACAGAAAGACACGAUCCUCCACACUUUAACACAAUAUAUGUAUAUUUUUUUAUCAGGUUGGGGUUCAGUUACCGCAGUCCUAUUCCCACAGCCUGGCACGUUUUGCUGCACAACUUGGCCCUGUUGGCUGGGAAAUUGCGUCAAGACGACUUGAACGGAGCCUUGCUCCUGGAACAAAGUUUGGUCGUGGCUGGGUAGGAGAUGGUGAAACGCCGCCGAACCCAUUUCAGACACCUGUACUCGCUGCAUUUUCAGAAACAAUGGCACCACCGAGCAGUAUAGCAGCAUCAGGUGAGCAGCCAUCUAUGAACGCGCCCCCCGCCACAGAGGCCUGUGCUGGCAGCAUAAGCCAUCGGGUGGGAUCUCAGCCAUGUGCUUCUAUCAGCACAGUGCAGACGAUAAAUUCCGAAGCAUUAGCAAGCCAGCAAUGCGGAUCCGUACCACAGGUUUCUAUAAACCGAGGCGAACGUGCUGUUGAGAUGAAGGGCAGCACUAAUAAUCUUCACGGGCACCCGGCCAUGCCGCAAACUAUGAAUGGUUUCAAUGCCGUUCCAGGUGCUAAACCAGACUAUAUCUUAACUACACUUGUGUGCUUAAUGUUCCAUUAAUCUCAUGCCCACUUUAGUCCAAAGUUCAUGACCCUUCAAAGGUUUCUGCCUUUUUCAGGACGGGUGCUGUUCCCACCUGCGGCUCAACUGGUGGUGAGUCAGAUGCAGACACAUACGGCUGAUUGAGUAACAAGUAGCCAUUGGAUCAACAUUGUCAACAUGGCAAUUGAACAUUGCCCGCUUCCAUUCAUCAGUCGCGGUCACCAAGCGACGACGGCCUUAAGCCGCACCCUGCCAGUGGCUUGGCGCCCACCACAUUGGGGGUGUCUGGUCGCUGUUGAAUCGUCGCGCCUCAACCUGGCGCUGCAACUGUGAAUCUGUUGUGUAAUUGCGUAAGUAGGAAUUAGGAUGAUAACGUGCAUAGAUGUGUUGGGCGGAUGGUGUAACAGCGGUGAGUUGCAGUUUGGAGAUUUAGCGAUUCUGAAUGUGUAGUAGAAAAACCACAGGGGAAACGAAACAACAUCUGUAUAGACUAUUCAGGAUCAGGAGGUUUUUUUAGCGUUUCGGCGACUAGCAACAGGUGCGAUCGAGCAUGAAAUCGUGCGAACCAGAUUGUCUGUUGCCGGUAUUGUUUCUAUAUACAUCAAUCUGACGGUGUUCUGGGUUGCAGGUACCACAGUCCACAGUGUAGGUAAGAAGUAGAAUCAUGCGGCAACAACAUGAAUGCCCUGUUCCAAUCUCGCGAGAUAAACUUUAGCAGCUUUUUUAGUUACUUUUAGUCACUUGUAAUCUAAACAGGAAAGCUAAUGGUGGUAAUUGAAGCUAAACUUUAGCACUUCAAUUCAUAUAGCUAAAAUUUAGCAGAAAGCUAAAGUUUAUCCCGUGAAAUUGAAACGGGGCCGAAGUAGAAUCCGCCUCAUCCUAAGAGUCCUUGUAGGAUCCUCAUCCUCACUUCUGUACCUUAAGGCGAGGAGUUGAAUAAUGAAUAUCCUAUAAAAAUUGUGCACAACUUACAGUUAUAACUAGAGUCAAGAUAUUUAUAUAUGCGGAAGCAAUUACUUUCUCUAGUUUUUCUCUCGACUAUCUCUCUGAACAAAACAAACAAGGAAGCAAUUACUUUCUCUAGUUUUCUCUCUCGACUAUCUCUCUGAACAAAACAAACUAGUAGCUUGUGAAAGAUAUGUAUAAAUGCGACAAACUAUUUUCUAAAUAAGAGAAGAAUUAAACUAAAGUUACUCUAGUUUUUUCUCUCGACUAUCUCUCUGAACAAAACAAACUAGUAGCUUGUGAAAGAUAUGUAUAAAUGCGACAAACUAUUUUCUAAAUAAGAGAAGAAUUAAACUAAAGUUACAUAACAAAUAGAUGAACAAGUAACAAGUAAAGAUGAUUGCAAGAAUUGUUUGGAGUGCAAACCAUAAGAAACAAGAGAUGAUAUAAUAUUUAUCCCUAAGGUUCAAUUGCUUGCGAGCAACCUACGUCCUAGUUGUGGCAAGUCUAAAUUGGAUGAUCCACGAGCUAAUUGGCGUAACGCACAAGCCCAUAAAGGGCAUCAUAAGACACACUAGGGAGAUAUUCCAACAAGACACUAUUUCACUAUACUAGUCAGAUGCCCGUGCAUUGCUAUAGUUCUAUAUAUCACACAGUUAGACUUUGUUUCAAUAAAACAUAAAAAUAUAUGUGUUUGGUUGGUUAGGUGGGUGUGAAAGUGGAGGCAACAACCAAGGUUCAACUACCCAUGGUCUUAAGAACUGUGAAAAUUGGUGUUUUAUAUAGUAGAACUAGUAGAUAUUGUAGUUGCUCUUCACGAAUCUAUGAGGGAAAUGAGCACAAGAGCCUACUCAAUGAACCCAACAAUCUCCAAGCGAUCUAGGAUGACAAUCACCAAGAGUAACAAUAGUAGAACCAUCCCAACCUAUUCUACCAGUAUCACAAGAUGCAUGAACACUAUGCAAUGCACUAGGAGAGCUCCAACCUCACCCAAAUGAUGAACUAUGUGUUUCAAGGGGGUGGAGUGUGUUUCUUAAUACUCAAGAUAGAGAUGUCAAUGGGGACCCGAUACCCGAUAACCCAUGGGGAAUUCCCCUAUUAGGGUAUUGGUAUGGGACAAAAAUUAUCCCCAUGGGUAUGGAUAUGGGACAAAAUCUCCACCCAUUGGGUAAACGGGUAUGGGUUUGGGAAGCAAUAAUCCGAACCCGAUUACCCAUGGGUAUUUCAUACGCGUACACCUGUCCUGUUUGUAUGAAUGAGUUGAGGCUGAGUUGGCCAUCAAACCCGGCAGACUCCAUUUCUUAUAUUGGUCCCAAGUACUGAUUUCUUUUCUGAUGGAUGGAUGAAUGGAUAAUGGUUCAUGGAUGAGUGCUUGCCAAUGUGGUGAUAUAUGAAAUCUGGAUAGUUUGUGCUAGAUGUUAGUACCUAGUUAUUCCUUAAUUGGGGAUGUGGAUCCAUUGGGGACCCGAAACCCGAAUGGGGAUGGGUAUGGGAUGAGUUUUGUACCCAUGAUGGGUACGGGUAUGGGUAUGGGGAUGUAUCAAACAUGAUGGGGAUGGGUCUGGGAUGCUAUAACCCGAUGGGGAAUUACCCAUUGACAUCUCUAACUCAAGAUGUGUAUGCAAGUGUUGGAGGUCAUGGGAUACUAGCCAAGGCCAGUUAAGGGGUGUAUUUAUAGCCCCUCAAAAAAAUCUAACCAUUACAUAUAAAAAUACUGAAAUCAGGGGUACCAGACAUGUCAGGAGCUUAUCAAGGUGUUGCACCAGACACGUCAGUGCCCUUCUAACGGCUAUACACUACUCCCUCCGGUGUACUAUUAGUUGUCAUUUAGGACAAUGGCACGGUCUUCAAAAUAUAACUUUGACCAAUGUUUUUUUGUUAAAAUACAACUAACCUUUUAAUACAUUUAUACUUUUAUAAACGUACUUGUUAAGACAAAUUGGUGCAUAUAAACAUUAUGUUUCAAAACUACAUAAUGAAAUAAUUAUUUGUAGUCAAAAUUUUAUAAGUUUGACUAAACAUUUUCCAAGAUGACAACUAAUAGUACACCAGAGGGAGUAGUCAUUAAUCCUAUCAGACAUCUAAUGAGUUAUAGGCUAAAUUGUGAGUUUUACAAGCUCUCUGAGUGUCCUGCCCAGUGUGGUACCCGGUGCUACACCAGACAUAUCCAAUGAGUUAUAGAGCUAUUAUGCUUGGUUAAAUGCUCACUAAGUUACUAGUCUGGUGGGGCAACCGGUGCCUCACCAAACACUAUGGUGCCAAACCAAAAGUUGUGUACUAAAUCUAUGCCAUUCUCUUAUUUGGUGUCGUGUUCGGUACCUCACUAGACAAGUACGAUGUUCUCUAAAAAUCUGCACUUAGUAUGUUUUCUUCUCUAUUUUCAAGCGAGCUAACUCUUAAAUGUUUUUUGUCAAACAUGUUAGAGACUAGUUAUAUUUUCCAAAGUGUUUUCAAUAAACCUUUUCACUUGCUCACACUUGUGUCACUUAGUCCUAUAUGCAAUGCAUAUAAAUCCAAACUUGGUGGGUACUAGACGAUUGAUUUGUCCAAUUAAAUUUCUCUCUUAAUAGUAUGACCAUCUAUCUAAAAUCCGAUCACACACUCUAUUGUGUCUUGUCCAGUAAAACAAAAUGAAUUAGCUUAUAAAUUUGUCUUGAGCUCUUGUAUUUUGAUUUUCUCCUCCCUCUUUCCAUGUUGACUAUUUGUUAAUCUUUGUGGACAUCACCAUCCUUCUUAUGGUUUCCCACCUUGCUCGACCUUUAGACUUUAACCUAUCUCAUUCACAACACUUAGAGUAGAUAUUACUACACUAGUUUCUCAAUUACGAAAACCAUAUUUGGAGCUUUCACCAUGAAGCAUGGUGACGGCGCGUCGAAGAGAUAAGGCUUGUUGAUGGUGAUGCUUUUGAGUGCUUUCUUAUUUGUGCUCUUUAUUUUACCAUCUUCACUAUCACUUGAUGAAGCAUCGAAAUCCCACUCAAUACAAUAAGUAUGGCCCUUCUUGAAAGUCAUUGAUUUGCCUUCUUUACCUUUGCUUUUUUUUUCUUUCUUUUCACCAUCAUUAUUAUUGUGAGGAAAUUUAGCUAUUAGAUUAUCAUUCAUACUACACGUAUAACAUCUCCUUUGUUACUGUGUUUUGGAUGAUGACCUCCUCCUUCUCCUUCUUGCACCAUAUCCCUUCUUCAUGAAUUUCCCGAAGUAGUCCAUUUCCUCACCAUCUUCAUUGCUUGAGCUUGUGCACUCAUCACCAGUAGAUUCAUCAUUGUUUUUCCUUCCCUUACUAUUGGAUUAUGUGGUGACUUUGAAUGCCACAAUCUCCUUCUCAUCUUCUUGAUCAACCCCAUCCCUUUCCACAUGGUAUGUGUCUUGUGUCAUCACAUCACAUAGUAUUUGGGUAAGAGUGUUAUUUUUUAAUCUGCCUCUCAUAAUAAUUGUUACCAAUGUGUCAAACCUUGGUGAGAGGCACCUCAAGAACCGAUGAAAGAAGUCCUCAUCACUCACUUUGUUACCCAAGUUUCUUAGCUCAUUUAUUAUGACAUUGAGUCUAUGAAACAUUUUUCAAGAUGCUUUCUCCUUGAAUUUUGAACCUUUCCAACUUAUAUUUGAGGAUGUAAAAUUUUGCUUCAUUGAACGUCGGUGUUCCAUCAUAUGAAUAUUCCAAUCUCUUCCACACCUUAUAUGCGAAAUCAAGGUCCUUUACUUGCUCAAACACCUUUAGAUCAAUUGCAUCAUAGAACACAUUGAGAGAAUAUAAUUGAAUUGUAAAUUUUUCCCCUUCUCUAGGAGUUGGUUUAUUCGUAUCUAGUAUGACGAAUUAUUUCUUCACUACAUUCCAAACUCUUGUUAAUUGAUCUCAAAUGUGCACAUAUCUUCCUUUUUCAUAAUUAAUUUGUUCCAUCAAAUGAGGUGGCUUAUUAUAUUAUUGAUUUAUGCCAUCAUAUGAAUCCUUAAUAUAAUGAUGAUCGCGACUUCGAUACCACUUGAUAGGAUCUAGAUGGAUACGAUACAAGAACUAUCUGCAAUGUACUAGGAGUUCUCCAAUCUCAUCUAAAUGGUUAUUUAAAGGAUGCAAGAGAGUAGAGUGUGUUUCAUAGCUCUCAAGAGGUGUACACAAGUAAAUGAGGUUAUGAGAAGUUUCUAAGGACAACUGUGGUAGUUGUCUAAAAAUCUAUCGGCGCAAACUCUUGAAAUAUAAUGUGUGUUUGUGAAUAUAGGUAUGUAUUUGUCAUUUUCUCUAUUUUAUAAAGCAUUACUUUUCACAGUUUCCACCUUCAUCACGCCCCCUACAUUUAAAUAGUAGAAAAUCUAAAAUUAUAUACAAUUAAGGAUUCAAACCAUGAUUGUUGGCUCUAAGCCCGUAUUCACAUCCACCUAACCAACAAAAUAUACAUACAUUUGUGUUUUAUAUUUCAUACUCAAACAUAAAUAGAAAUCAUAGCAACGUACAUACACUUUGCUAGUGUUUUUAAAUAAACUGAAAAAACUUUAGGUCAUGUUUGUUUUCUUUUAGAAUUAUAUAAUACAACUUAUGGAUUAUGUAAACACCUAAUGACCUAAUUAUAGAUUAUUAUAAUCUAGAUAUCUAGAUUAUAUAAGCAAUCUAAUAAUUUAUGAUGUUUAUUUAUCUUUUAACUUAUUUAAGUUGGAUUAUAUAAUUUAGAGGUUAAAUACUUCGUUUACAAUGGACCGAAUUAUCUACCAAGUAGAGAGAAAAAUUCAAAAGAGAGAGAAAAGCAACCUAUGGUUCACCGCUCCCCUAUUUGACAGCUCGCGAGUCGAGUCAGCCGGCCGACGACAGGGAGCCUCGCCUCCGGCGCCGCGGCGGCGAUCACCCAAUUCCACCCCCACUGCCUUCUCCUAUCUCCCCACACUACCGCUCUGUUUCCUCCACCAUCCGCUUGCGUCCACGCGCUCUCUCGUUAAGCCAUCGCUUGCGUCAACGGCCGCGCCCUCUAGUCGUUCGACGAAACGCCACCGAGCCACUGACGCGUCCGCUGCACGCGUAGUCGCGCUUCCAUCUUGCUCCGCCGCCCCGCAGCUCCUAGCCGGAGGGAGGCCACCGAUCCAUGUCUGUCGCCAAGCGCUACGUGCUGCGCCUCUUCAUCUCGCUCAAGUACGUGACGGCGAACGUGGUGGACCGGCAGAGCGGUCGCAUCGUGACGACCGCCUCGACCGCGGAGCGGCCCCUGCGAGACGGGCUGGAGUGCGGCCGCGCCUGCAACGCAAAGGCGGCGGCAGCCGUCGGCGAGGUGCUCGCCAUGCGCCUCAAGGUGGACGGCCUCGCGCGGGAGCCCAUAUACGCCAACGCGGAGAAAGAGGUCGCGAAGAAAGGGUUCAAGAACCAGACCAAGGUCUGGGCCAUCCUCAAUGCGUUGCGCAGUCACGGGGUCAACCUCCACAUCGACGACGAUGGCGACCACAGGCCGCACGUCUGAAACAACCAUAAGUUCAGGAGUUUGCUCCUCCAACUAACAAAAGUAUGAGCUUUGAGCAUGUUGAUUGUUGCGUGCUGUUUUAUGUUGCUUCAGUAACCUUGCCCUUGACUCUCAUUUAAUUGAACACUAUGACUUUCUGUGUGUAGCAAUAUCACUGCUGGAUCUACUACUUCGAUAUCAUAUAAGUCAUGUAUAACCCUAAGACCAUGAAUCGAUUUUCAAAGUAUAAUAUGAUACAACUCUAAGCUCUUAGAUCAUAAGUAUAGUUAAGAGACAAUAUAUAUAGAGAAUCGUGUAGAGACAGGUUAUUGGCGAAGAGCUCAUCUUUUUGUAUUUUUUUCAAAUAGUCCCAUAGAGACUCCUCAAGGGACUCCAUAAUAAUUGAGAUUGUACAUGCCCUAACAAUUGUCACAAAAAGGAGGAUUGAACCAGUUAUUCACAAAAAAUAUCACGCAGGAUAAUUUCUCUACUGGGAAGGAAAUUGACGCCCCAUGGUGCUUUGGUAAAUUGGUAGUGAAAAGCGGUGCACAUGUUUGAUACAUGCAAAAGACCUAAUGCCUGAUAACUUUUACCUGGUAGCAAAACACAAUUAAAUUACAGAGCACCUUCACAAAACAUGGUGCUACGGCAGUAACUACCAAAUUCCUCACAAAUAGAUUUGCUGGCAUAAUUUUACUGACCAAGUGCCUUUAGGUUCAUGUAUGCUUUGAGCUGAUUCAAAGCACUAUCCAACAAAACCUUCUUACUGCCAUUGAUAACUCUCACUGACUGUUUGAGCUCGCUCUUGGCUGCAAUCAGCUCGUUUUGCAGCCCCUUGAUCUUCAUCUCAUCCCUGAUCUUCUCGAGGCCCCUGAUCUUCUCCUCGAUGACAUGUAGGCUCUCAUGGUCUGGUUGAACUCCUGAUGGUACCAAAGCCCAGGGCAUGUCAUCUUGUAAUGGUGGAGCAGAGGGCGUAGGGUGCCCACCUUGUGAACUGCUUCCGAGAACCAAUAUCAUUUUCUGCAAGCAAGUAGAGGUGUCAGUUUCAGUAUUGGAAAACAUUCUGAAUGAGGAAUCCUGGACUGUUAGACAUAGUUAACUGUUAAGUAUCGAUGUCUGUCAUGCGUCUUAGUCAGGUUUCGACAUGGUGUUGCAGCCUAACACCUUCUACUUCUGAUAAUGUGCUUUGAUUUGUGCCAAAGCACGCUUCUUCUUUUCAGCACACUGUGCACGGCAUCGUCCAAUGGAUAUCAAAGUAAUCAUACUGAAAGAUAUUCAUCUAGAAAAUUGACAUCAUAUUGCCAUUCAUUCUACUCUAUUAGCGUACAGCAAAUACCUGUUUAUGGUCCUCAAUUGGAGCAUCCGGGUACACAAUUUUGACACUUUUCUUCGUCUUCCUCUUCAGCCAGCGGCAAAUCUCUGUUGAGUUCACCUUUCCAACCACCGUGACAAUCCCGCUAUUAACAUCCCCCACCGAAGUUUCAACUCCUGUGAUGUCACAAAGAAAAAUCCUUAUCGUUAUUUGCAGAAUAUAUAUAGCAAGAGAGAAGGGGAAAAAAUAUAGGAGAUGAACAGCCGGUAAAGCUGUACCACCGAAACUUCCAAUGGACACCAUGGCCUUCUCCACCUUCCUGACACAGCCAAUGCAGCGGCAGCGCAUCUCAACCUGGAACCUGAAUCGCCUGGGCGCCUCCUGUGAAUGGAAGAACCAAAUCCAUCUGUCACUCCUGGUGAUGGCGAGAAAAGGAUCUGCAGAGGAAUAAGAAGGCGAAGCCCUCACUGUCCCCAUGGUAGAAUCUUGAGCUGCUUCUGUGACGCUGUUUGCCGGCGGAAGCGAUCAGAGUCUAGAGGCUGGAUGUGGCAAGGCACUCUCGCUUAAAUAGGCCUGACUGGUGCGUAGUUAAUGGGAGGGAGCGGAGUUCCAUGCAGUUUUGUGAAACAGAGGAGCCACCGGAUUGCAUGCUUGAUUGACUGACCUGAUCGUUCAUUCACAGUUUCACACUAGCUGCUGUUUCAUUCAGUCCUUUCCUGUUGCAUUUUUUUUAUCGAGACGAGCACGGCUAAACGUAAUACUAAUACAAUACUCAAAGUCGAAACCCAUUAACCCAAUAGAGAAGGGUGCCAUAGAGAAGAUCGCAAAGGGGAUUUCGUGCAGGGUGGGAGGAAGAAGAUGGGUAGAAAAGUAAAAGGCUAGAAGGCUGCGAGUUUGCCUGAAAAAGAGCAAGAUCUUGCGUAGAGCCAUAUUUAAGGCACGUUUGGUUCGUUACCUCAAUUACCACAGUUAUUCAAUUCGAACGACUAACCUUAGGCAAAAUGUGACACAUUUAGCCACAAACCAAACAUGCCCUUAAAUUUCUCUCUCUCUCUCUCACUGUCCACCAAGCACAAAAAUUGAAGCAUCACACGACCUACAUAAAAAGGUGAGGUCUGCGACAUGGAGGGUGCACGAGACUAACCGCAGAUAUACUUGGGUGAUUACACUCGAGAAUCAUGUCACACGUAGGAGUGUUAAUGGAUCGCCAUAUAAAUGUUUCUUCAUGAUUUGUUAAGGUCAUAAAUUUAUUUUAGUUCAAAAAUGAAUAGAAAUAGAGUUUGAUCCUAAUUUGAUCCGGGCCUUAAAUUUUAUAGUGUAAAAUUUAGAGCCUAUUGUCACCCCUAGUCACACGAGAUAAGACGAUUCUCUUGAGAUUUUGUUUGAGAAUUGCAAGACUUACCAAUUUGCUUCCUCGCUGAGAUAAAUCAUCGUCAAUUAAUAGGGUGUUUGGUUUGAGGAAUAAACUCGUCAAUCAUCUUCUCACUUCUUUCCUUUUUUUGUUUGGUUUGUGAAAUGGAAUGAGUUGAUCUAUCACCACCCCAUUCCUCAUAAUAGUUAGUACUAAUAAUGAAUGUGAUCAUCCCACCAAAUUUGAGAAAUAGACCAAUAAUAUACCAUUUCAAUUUUGAUAGAGUGUCUCCUCAAACCAAACACCCCCUAAAUUUCCUCCAAUGUAAUGACGAGCCUCUCACACCAAGGAUUAUCACCCCUUGUCAAGAGGAAUAGACACAAGAAAUGCCUGACAAUGGUGCUUCGACUUCCGAGCUAGAGUUCAUGAUGACUAACAACGGGCUCACAAUGGUGCAAUAGUAAGUAUCAAAGAUCAAACCCACUAGACAAGAUAAAUCAUGGUAUGAGUUCGCUCUAUUGUGAUGGGUCGCUUCUCCCUAAUUCUUCAACCCCCUUACAUUCGAUCGCCCUAGGGGCUCAACCGCCAUGACCCCCAACUCCUUAGACAAUAAGAUGUGUAGCCUUGGGCCUAGCAUUUUAAGGAUCUGUUCCAUGAGGUGUGUAAAGAAAAUAGACCUCGACCCAUUUGACUAAAUGAUUUUGGUGGUUUGAUGAUCAACGUAAUCUGUGAACUAAUAUGUUUUCUAUGUUUGUAUUUGUAGUUCACAAGAUGCAAAAGUGACUUGGACUAAGACAUUGAGGAAGCAACACCUCAAAAGAAGACAUUAUGAAGACCAUAAGUGAAGAUCAACAAGUAUCAAGCAAAGUCUAAGGCAUGAAGAAAAGUGUAGUCACUCACGGAUCGUCUACCCAUGUGCAGCGGACUGUCUGGUGGCUCACCGGACAGUCCGGUGCCACCCGACGGACUGCCCGGUGCACCAGGGAACAUGAGCCCAAUGGAUAGUUCCUAGUAACACAACACCAGACUGUUCGGUGCAUCACCGGACUGACCAGUGCAAGACUGACGCGCGACAACGGUCACUUGCAACGGUCAUAUCCAACGGCUAUGGGGCACCAGACACAACACCAGACUGUUCGGUGCCUACCACCGGACUGCCCGGUGUGUCGCAGAGCAGCAGCUUUUCUCCAACGACUAUAAUUGAGUUGGGGCCUAUAUAUACUUCACCCAACUGAACAUUUGAAGGUGUGGGAGCCCAAACAACAUAUCAACACAUAUUAUAGAAAUUUUCAAGUGCUCAAACACCCAAGUGCUUAAAGAAUCACUCGGUGAUUAGCGUAGAUGCUUUUUGCGAAGUGCUUAGGUUAGUUGGAUCGCUUAAGCACUUGCUCUAGGUGAAUACUAGUUGAGUGAGUUUAGAAAAACCCACAAAACCCCUUGUCUCUUGUGCGAGCCGUUGUAUAUUGUUCCGAUUGGGGCGAGAGUCUUGCGAGACCGUGACAACCGAGUUUGUCUCACAGCCGCCACCAUGUACCGGAGGGAACGAGGCUCGCAGCGUUUUGACCGGAAGCUCGAUACUGGAGACAGCGGGGAGCGUCCGAGAGGAGCCGAAUGUGGAGCACCACUUGCGUGUGGAAAAGGCCCGUAGCUCUCUACGGAGUUUCUAAACUGUGGUGAUUGGCUCUCGCGUGAGUUAUCCUUUGCGUAGGGCCAACGAGGAUUAGUCGGGACCUUCAUGGUUCUGGAUACCUCGGUAAAAAUACCAUUGUCAUCCACGUGAGUUUGCUUUCUCUACUAGCUCUUUAAUAUUCCACAUUUACUCUCUGUACCUAAGUUGCAAUCUUUACUAUUCUUAGUGUAGAUUAUAUAUGAUUGAAACUUAGGUUGCAUAACUCCUUUUUGCGGUAAUAGCAACACUUAGACAAAACUAGUAUACACAUUAUAGAUUGCUUAUUUGCAUAUGUUUUGUUCUAGUGAUUUAUUUGUGGCCUAGUUUAGAAAGAAGUUUUUAAAAGUCCUAAUUCACCCCCUCUUAAGCGUCACCAUUUCCUACAAGGUGUCUAGUGCCUAGGGCCUUUGUCAACUGCCAUGUCCACCUAUAGGUAGGGGUGGUAAUGGGCUCAAUAUUUUAUACUGCAAAAUUUACGAAUCAAAUUAAGAUCAGGCUCUAUUUCUAUUCAUUUUGAACUAAAAUUCAUUAAGGGCUCAAACAAAUUGUGAAGAAACAUUUGGAUUGUGAUCCAUUACCACCCUACCUGCAUGAUCACUUCACUAGUGGACCCUAGAGCCUUUGUUAGUGCCCAGGGAAGCUCAUACAUUGAUUAUCUGCAAGACUCAUUCAAGGAUCCUAGCUCGAGAGAUUAACUUCAUGGACCAUCGCUCCCUGUGCCCCAAGUCUUGGGAACACCCCCUAGCCUAGGCCAGGGAGGGGCCCAACACUAAAUGACAUAUUAUAGAAGUGUCUAAAAUGAAUGGCAACUAUCAGAAACCUUGGUAGCCUUCUAGGUUGCCUUGACUCUAUGAGGCUUGGGACUCCUAGCGCGUUGGGACCUCUAAGAGCAUCUCCAAGAGAGGCUCUAAACAUGGUCCUAUUUUAAAUAUAGGGCUCAAAAUCAUAAAACAUUCUUCCAACAGCGGCCUUAUUUUAUAAAUUUUCAUCAAAUGGUUAUAGGGCUCGGUCUCUCGGGUCCUAAAUAUAGUACCCAUAUACUGGAGCCCUAUCCUCAUUUCCACUUAAUCUCCAACCAUUUAUUUCCUAAUAUUAUGAUUUAUUUCCUAAAUAGCAUUAUUUAAGGCCUGACUAUUGGAGUAAACAUUUCUUUUGAGACCCUAAACAUUCUAAAUAUGGUCCUAUUUCAAAUUUUAGGACUCUAUUUUAGGGUUUGUUGUUGUAGAUGCUCUAAGGGUAAUAUAUUAUAAGUCCCUAACACAUAUUGUGUCGUGAGAUAUGAAAGGGAAUUAGGCUUACACCUAGUCCCUAAUUAAUUUUGGUGGUUGAAUUGCCCAACACAAAUUUAUUGGACUAACUAGUUUGCCCAAGUGUAUAGAUUAUACAGGUAUAAAAGGUUCACUCUCAGUCAAUUAAAAGACCAAGUUUUGGAUUCAACAAAGGAGCAAAGUGGCAACCGAAGGCCCUCUGGUCUGGGAGCACCGGACUGUCCGGUGUACACCGGACAGUGUCCGGUGCACCAGAGGACUCCAACGCAAACUUGCCACCUUCGGGAAUUUCUAGAGGCAACUCCGCUAUAAUUCACCGGACUGUCCGGUGUCCGGUGCGCCAAGGAAGGUCAGCCUCAGGAACUCGCCAGCUUCGGGAAACUCCAACGGCUAGUCCGCUAAAAUUCACCGGACUGUCCGGUGUGCACCGGACUGUCCGGUGCGACUCCGGAGCAACGGCUAUCUCCGCGCCAACGGCUCUCUGCCGCGCAUUUAAUGCGCGCUCUGCGCGCGCAGAUGUCAGGCGCGCCCAUUCCGGCACACCGGACAAGGAACAGUAGCUGUCCGGUGUGCACCGGACACCCAGGCGGGCCCACAAGACAGAAGCUCCAACGGUCAGAAUCCAACGGCAGUGAUGACGUGGCAGGGGCACCGGACUGUCCGGUGUGCACCGGACUGUCCGGUGCGCCAUCGAACAGACAGCCUCCCAACGGCCACAUUUGGUGGUUGGGGCUAUAAAUACCCCAACCACCCCACCAUUCAUUGCAUCCAAGUUUUCCACUUCUCAACUACUACAAGAGCUCUAGCAUUCAAUUCUAGACACACCAAAGAGAUCAAAUCCUCUCCAAAUUCCACACAACGCCAUAGUGACUAGAGAGAGUGAUUUGCUUGUGUUCUUUCGAGCUCUUGCGCUUGGAUUGCUUUCUUCUUUCUUGAUCCUUUCUUUGCAAUCAAACUCACUUGUAAUUGAGGCAAGAGACACCAAUCUUGUGGUGGUCCUUGCGGGAACUUUGUGUUCCAAGUGAUUGAGAAGAGAAAGCUCACUCGAUCCGUGGAUCGUUUGAGAGAGGGAAGGGUUGAAAGAGACCCGGCCUUUGUGGCGUCCUCAACGGGGAGUAGGUUUGCAAGAACCGAACCUCGGUAAAACAAAUCUCCGUGUCUCACUUGCUUAUUCGCUUGGGUUUUGUUUUGCACUCUCUCUCGCGGACUCGUUUCUCUAUUACUAACGCUAACCACGGCUUGUAGUUGUGUUUAUAUUUGUAAAUUUCAGUUUCGCCCUAUUCACCCCCCCUCUAGGCGACUUUCAAUUGGUAUCGGAGCCCGGUGCUUCAUUAGAGCCUAACCGCUCGAAGUGAUGUCGGGAGAUCACGCCAAAAAAGAGAUGGAGACCGGCGAAAAGCCCACUACAAGCAACGGGAGCACUUCAUCGGAAGAGUCCCGCACCAAACGGAGGGAGAAGAAGAAGAGCUCCUCCAACAAAGGGAAGGAGAAGAAAUCUUCUUCUCACCACAAAGAGAAGAAGGAAAAAUCUUCUUCCCACAAGCCGCAUCGGAGUGGGGACAAACAAAAGAGGAUGAGGAAAGUGGUCUACUACGAGACCGACACUUCAUCAACAUCAACCUCCGGCUCCGACGCGCCCUCCGUAACUUCUAAACGCCAAGAGCGUAAGAAGUUUAGUAAGAUCCCCCUACACUACCCUCGCAUUUCUAAACAUGCACCUUUACUUUCCGUCCCAUUAGGCAAACCACCAACUUUUGAUGGUGAAGAUUAUGCUAGGUGGAGUGAUUUAAUGCGAUUUCAUCUAACCUCACUCCACAAAAGUAUAUGGGAUGUUGUUGAGUUUGGUGCACAGGUACCGUCUGUAGGGGAUAAGGAUUAUGAUGAGGAUGAGGUGGCCCAAAUCGAGCACUUCAACUCUCAAGCGACAACAAUACUCCUCGCCUCACUAAGUAGAGAGGAGUAUAACAAAGUACAAGGGUUGAAGAGUGCCAAGGAGGUUUGGGAUGUACUCAAAACCACGCACGAGGGAGACGAGCUCACCAAGAUCACCAAGCGGGAAACGAUCGAGGGGGAGCUCGGUCGGUUCCGGCUUCGCAAAGGGGAGGAGCCACAACACAUGUACAACCGGCUCAAGACCUUGGUGAACCAAGUGCGCAACCUCGGGAGCAUAAAGUGGGAUGACCAUGAGGUGGUUAAGGUUAUUCUAAGAUCUCUUAUUUUCCUUAACCCCACUCAAGUUCAAUUAAUUCGUGGUAAUCCUAGAUAUACUAAAAUGACCCCCGAGGAAGUUAUCGGGCAUUUUGUAAGUUUUGAGUGCAUGAUCGAAGGCUCGAGAAAGAUCAACGAGCUUGACGAACCCACCACAUCCGAAGCUCAACCCGUCGCAUUCAAGGCGACGGAGGAAAAGAAGGAGGAGGCUACACCAAGUCGACAACCAAUAGACGCCUCCAAGCUCGACAAUGAGGAAAUGGCGCUCGUCAUCAAGAGUUUCCGCCAAAUCCUCAAGCAAAGGAGGGGGAAAGACUACAAGUCCCGCUCCAAGAAGGUUUGCUACAAAUGUGGUAAGCCCGGUCAUUUUAUUGCUAAAUGUCCUAUAUCAAGUGACAGUGAUCGAGGCGACGACAAGAAGGGGAGAAGAAAGGGGAAGAAGAGAUACUACAAGAAGAAGGGCGGCGAUGCCCAUGUUUGUCGGGAGUGGGACUCCGAUGAAAGCUCUAGCGACUCCUCCGACGACGAGGACGCCGCCAACAUCGCCGUCACCAAGGGACUUCUCUUCCCCAACGUCGGCCACAAGUGCCUCAUGGCAAAGGACGGCAAAAAGAAGGUAAAAUCAAGAUCAUCCACUAAAUAUGAAACCUCUAGUGAUGAUAAUGCUAGUGAUGAGGAAGAUAAUUUGCGUACCCUUUUUGCCAACCUUAACAUGGAACAAAAAGAAAAAUUAAAUGAAUUAAUUAGUGCUAUUCAUGAAAAGGAUGACCUUUUGGAUUCACAAGAGGAUUGUCUAAUUAAAGAAAACAAGAAACAUGUUAAGGUUAAAAAUGCUUAUGCUCUAGAAGUAGAAAAAUGUGAAAAAUUAUCUAGUGAGCUAAGCACUUGCCGUAAGAUGAUUGACAACCUUAGGAAUGAAAAUGCUAGUUUAAUGCUAAGGUUGAUUCUCAUGUUUGCAAUGUUUCAAUUCCCAACCCUAGAGAUAAUAAUGAUGAUUUGCUUGCUAGGAUUGAAGAAUUGAACAUUUCUCUUGCUAGUCUUAGAUUAGAAAAUGAAAAUUUGAUUGCUAAGGCUAAAGAUUUUGAUAUUUGCAAAGUUACAAUUUCCGAUCUUAGAGAUAAAAAUGAUAUUCUUCAUGCUAAGAUUGUUGAACUUAAUUCUUGCAAACCCUCUACAUCUAUUGUUGAGCAUGUAUCUAUUUGUACUAGAUGUAGAGAUGUUGAUGUUAAUGCUAUUCAUGAUCAUAUGGCUUUAAUUAAACAACAAAAUGAUCAUAUAGCAAGACUAGAUGCUAAAAUUGUCGAGCACAACUUAGAAAAUGAGAAAUUUAAAUUUGCUCGUAGCAUGCUUUAUAAUGGGAGACGCCCGGGCAUUAAGGAUGGCAUUGGCUUCCAAAGGGGAGACAAUGUCAAAAUUAGUGCCCCUCCUAAGAGAUUGUCCAACUUUGUUAAGGGCAAGGCUCUCAUGCCUCAGGAUAACGAGGGUUACAUUUUAUACCCUGCCGGUUAUCCCGAGAGCAAAAUUAGGAGAAUUCACUCUAGGAAGUCUCACUCUGGCCCCAAUCAUGCUUUUAUGUAUAAGGGUGAGACAUCUAGUUCUAGGCAACCAACCCGUGCUAAGUUGCCUAAGAAAACUCCUACUGCAUCAAAUGAACAUAAUCUUUCAUUUAAAACUUUUGAUGCAUCUUAUGUAUUAACUAACAAAUCCGGCAAGGUAGUUGCCAAAUAUGUUGGGGGCAAGCACAAGGGCUCCAAGACUUGUGUUUGGGUACCCAAAGUUCUUGUGUCUAAUGCCAAAGGACCCAAAACCAUUUGGGUACCUAAAGUCAAGAACUAAACUUAUUUUGUAGGUUUAUGCAUCCGGGGGUUCAAGUUGGAUACUCGACAGCGGGUGCACAAACCACAUGACAGGGGAGAAAAAGAUGUUCUCCUCCUACGAGAAAAACCAAGAUCCCCAAAGAGCGAUCACAUUCGGGGAUGGAAAUCAAGGUUUGGUCAAAGGAUUGGGUAAAAUUGCUAUAUCACCUGACCAUUCCAUUUCUAAUGUUUUUCUUGUAGAUUCUUUAGAUUACAAUUUGCUUUCUGUAUCUCAAUUAUGCAAAAUGGGCUGCAACUGUCUAUUCACUGAUGUAGAUGUCACUGUCUUUAGAAGAAGUGAUGAUUCAAUAGCAUUUAAGGGAGUGUUAGAGGGUCAGCUAUACUUGGUAGAUUUUGAUAGAGCUGAACUCGACACUUGCUUAAUUGCUAAGACUAACAUGGGUUGGCUCUGGCACCGCCGACUAGCUCAUGUUGGGAUAAAGAAUCUUCAUAAGCUUCUAAAGGGAGAACACAUUUUAGGACUAACAAAUGUUCAUUUUGAGAAAGACAGGAUUUGUAGCGCAUGCCAAGCAGGAAAGCAAGUUGGCUCCCAUCAUCCGCAUAAGAACAUAAUGACGACCGACAGGCCACUGGAGCUCCUACACAUGGAUCUAUUCGGUCCGAUCGCUUACAUAAGCAUCGGCGGGAGUAAGUACUGUCUAGUUAUUGUGGAUGAUUAUUCUCGCUUCACUUGGGUAUUCUUUUUGCAGGAAAAAUCUCAAACCCAAGAGACCUUAAAGGGAUUCUUGAGACGGGCUCAAAAUGAGUUCGGCUUAAGAAUCAAGAAAAUUAGAAGCGAUAACGGGACGGAGUUCAAGAAUUCUCAAAUUGAAGGCUUCCUUGAGGAGGAGGGCAUCAAGCAUGAGUUCUCUUCUCCCUACACGCCACAACAAAAUGGUGUAGUGGAGAGGAAGAAUCGAACUCUAUUGGACAUGGCAAGAACCAUGCUUGAUGAGUACAAGACUUCGGAUCGGUUUUGGGCCGAGGCGGUCAACACCGCUUGCUACGCCAUCAACCGGUUAUAUCUUCACCGAAUCCUCAAGAAGACAUCAUAUGAACUCCUAAUCGGUAAAAAGCCCAACAUUUCAUAUUUUAGAGUCUUUGGUAGCAAAUGCUUUAUUCUUGUUAAAAGAGGUAGAAAAUCUAAAUUUGCUCCUAAGACUGUAGAAGGCUUUUUACUAGGAUAUGACUCAAACACAAGGGCAUAUAGAGUCUUUAACAAGUCCACUGGACAAGUUGAAGUUUCUUGUGACGUUGUGUUUGAUGAGACUAACGGCUCUCAAGUAGAGCAAGUUGAUCUUGAUGAGAUAGGUGAAGAACAGGCUCCAUGCAUCGCUCUAAGGAACAUGUCCAUUGGGGAUGUGUGUCCUAAGGAAUCCGAAGAGCCUCCAAAUGCUCAAGAUCAACCGUCCUCCUCCAUGCAAGCAUCUCCACCAACUCAAAAUGAGGAAGAGGCUCAAGUUGAUGAAGAAGAAGAUCAAUCAAAUGAGCCACCUCAAGAUGAUGGCAUAGAUCAAGGGGGAGAUGCAAAUGAUCAAGACAAGGAGGAUGAAGAGCAAAGACCGCCACACCCAAGAAUCCACCAAGCAAUCCAACGAGAUCACCCCGUCGACACCAUCCUCGGCGAUAUUCAUAAGGGGGUAACCACUAGAUCUCGUGUUGCUCAUUUUUGUGAACAUUACUCUUUUGUUUCCUCUAUUGAGCCACACAGGGUAGAGGACGCACUUCAAGAUUCGGAUUGGGUGGUGGCGAUGCAAGAGGAGCUCAACAACUUCACGAGGAAUGAGGUAUGGCAUUUAGUUCCAUGUCCUAACCAAAAUGUUGUAGGAACCAAAUGGGUCUUCCGCAACAAACAAGAUGAGCAUGGUGUGGUGACAAGGAACAAAGCUCGACUUGUGGCCAAGGGAUACUCCCAAGUCGAAGGUUUGGAUUUCGGUGAAACCUAUGCACCCGUAGCUAGGCUUGAGUCAAUUCGCAUAUUAUUAGCCUAUGCUACUUACCAUGGCUUUAAGCUUUAUCAAAUGGACGUGAAAAGUGCCUUCCUCAAUGGACCAAUCAAGGAAGAGGUCUAUGUUGAGCAACCUCCCGGCUUUGAAGACAGUGAGUAUCCUAACCAUGUCUAUAAGCUCUCUAAGGCGCUUUAUGGGCUCAAGCAAGCCCCAAGAGCAUGGUAUGAAUGCCUUAGAGAUUUCCUUAUUGCAAAUGGCUUCAAUGUCGGAAAAGCCGAUCCUACACUCUUUACUAAAACCCUUGAAAAUGACUUGUUUGUAUGCCAAAUUUAUGUUGAUGAUAUUAUAUUUGGAUCUACUAACGAGUCUACAUGUGAAGAGUUUAGUAGGAUUAUGACACAGAAGUUCGAGAUGUCUAUGAUGGGGGAGUUGAAGUAUUUCCUAGGAUUUCAAGUAAAGCAACUCCAAGAGGGCACCUUGAUUAGCCAAACGAAGUACACUCAAGACAUUCUAAACAAGUUUGGGAUGAAGGAUGCCAAGCCCAUCAAGACACCCAUGGGAACCAAUGGGCAUCUCGACCUCGACACGGGAGGUAAGUCCGUGGAUCAAAAGGUAUAUCGGUCGAUGAUAGGUUCUUUACUCUAUUUAUGUGCAUCUCGACCGGAUAUUAUGCUUUCCGUAUGCAUGUGUGCAAGAUUCCAAGCCGACCCUAAGGAAGCUCACCUUACGGCCGUAAAACGAAUCUUGAGAUAUUUGGCUUAUACUCCUAAGUUUGGGCUUUGGUAUCCCAGGGGAUCCACUUUUGAUUUGAUUGGAUAUUCGGAUGCCGAUUGGGCAGGGUGUAAAAUCAAUAGGAAGAGCACAUCGGGGACUUGCCAGUUCUUGGGAAGAUCCUUGGUGUCUUGGGCUUCAAAGAAGCAAAAUUCGGUUGCUCUCUCCACCGCCGAAGCCGAGUACAUUGCCGCAGGCCAUUGUUGCGCGCAAUUGCUUUGGAUGAGGCAAACCCUGCGGGACUACGGUUACAAAUUAACCAAAGUCCCUUUGCUAUGUGAUAAUGAGAGUGCAAUCAAGAUGGCCGACAAUCCCGUCGAGCAUAGCCGCACUAAGCACAUAGCCAUUCGGUAUCACUUUUUAAGGGAUCACCAACAAAAGGGAGAUAUCGAGAUUUCUUACAUUAACACUAAAGAUCAAUUAGCCGAUAUCUUUACCAAGCCUCUUGAUGAACAAUCCUUUAACAAACUUAGGCAUGAGCUCAAUAUUCUUGAUUCUAGGAACUUCUAUUGUUAAAAUUGCACACAUUGCUCUUUUAUAUACCUUUGAUCAUGUCUCUCUUAUAUGCUAUGACUAAUGUGUUUUCAAGUCUAUUUCAAACCAAGUCAUAGGUAUAUUGAAAGGGAAUUGGAGUCUUCGGCGAAGACAAAGGCUUCCACUCUGUAACUCAUACUUCGCCAUCACUCCAAGCAACUCUCUAUUCUUUGGGGAGAAAUGAGCAUCAAAGGACCGGAUUUCGUCUUUGGUAUAAUCUUAACUCACUCAUUUAUGACCAAAGAGGAAGAUAGCACUUCAAGGGCUCUAAUGAUUCCGUUUUUGGUGAUUCAUGCCAAAAAGGGGGAGAAAUGAGCCCAAAGCAAAAGGACCGCACCACCACCUAAUUCAAUUUUCAAAAACUCGUGUUGAAUAUUUUUUCAAUUGGUAUCCUAUCGUAUUCAAAAGGGGGAGAAAGUAGUAUUUCAAAAUGAUACAUCAAAACCCUCUUGAGCACUAAGAGGUGGAUCUCCUUUAGGGGGAGUUUUGUUUAGUCAAAGGAGAAGCAUUUGAAACAGGGGGAGAAAAUUUCAAAUCUUGAAAAUGCUUUGCAAAAUCUUAUUCAUUCACCUUUGACUAUUUGCAAAAGAACUUUGAAAAGGAUUUACAAAAGAGUUUGCAAAAAGAAAACUCGUGGUGCAAGCGUGGUCCAAAAUGUUAUAUAAGAAAGAAACAAUUCAUGCAUAUCUUGUAAGUAUUUAUAUUGGCUCAAUUCCAAGCAACCUUUACACUUACAUUAUGCAAACUAGUUCAAUUAUGCACUUCUAUAUUUGCUUUGGUUUGUGUUGGCAUCAAUCACCAAAAAGGGGGAGAGUGAAAGGGAAUUAGGCUUACACCUAGUCCCUAAUUAAUUUUGGUGGUUGAAUUGCCCAACACAAAUUUAUUGGACUAACUAGUUUGCCCAAGUGUAUAGAUUAUACAGGUAUAAAAGGUUCACUCUCAGCCAAUUAAAAGACCAAGUUUUGGAUUCAACAAAGGAGCAAAGUGGCAACCGAAGGCCCUCUGGUCUGGGAGCACCGGACUGUCCGGUGUACACCGGACAGUGUCCGGUGCACCAGAGGACUCCAACGCAAACUUGCCACCUUCGGGAAUUUCCAGAGGCAACUCCGCUAUAAUUCACCGGACUGUCCGGUGUACACCGGACAGUGUCCGGUGCGCCAAGGAAGGUCAGCCUCAGGAACUCGCCAGCUUCGGGAAACUCCAACGGCUAGUCCGCUAAAAUUCACCGGACUGUCCGGUGUGCACCGGACUGUCCGGUGCGACUCCGGAGCAACGGCUAUCUCCGCGCCAACGGCUCUCUGCCGCGCAUUUAAUGCGCGCUCUGCGCGCGCAGAUGUCAGGCGCGCCCAUUCCGGCACACCGGACAAGGAACAGUAGCUGUUCGGUGUGCACCGGACACCCAGGCGGGCCCACAAGACAGAAGCUCCAACGGUCAGAAUCCAACGGCAGUGAUGACGUGGCAGGGGCACCGGACUGUCCGGUGUGCACCGGACUGUCCGGUGCGCCAUCGAACAGACAGCCUCCCAACGGCCACAUUUGGUGGUUGGGGCUAUAAAUACCCCAACCACCCCACCAUUCAUUGCAUCCAAGUUUUCCACUUCUCAACUACUACAAGAGCUCUAGCAUUCAAUUCUAGACACACCAAAGAGAUCAAAUCCUCUCCAAAUUCCACACAACGCCAUAGUGACUAGAGAGAGUGAUUUGCUUGUGUUCUUUCGAGCUCUUGCGCUUGGAUUGCUUUCUUCUUUCUUGAUCCUUUCUUUGCAAUCAAACUCACUUGUAAUUGAGGCAAGAGACACCAAUCUUGUGGUGGUCCUUGCGGGAACUUUGUGUUCCAAGUGAUUGAGAAGAGAAAGCUCACUCGAUCCGUGGAUCGUUUGAGAGAGGGAAGGGUUGAAAGAGACCCGGCCUUUGUGGCGUCCUCAACGGGGAGUAGGUUUGCAAGAACCGAACCUCGGUAAAACAAAUCUCCGUGUCUCACUUGCUUAUUCGCUUGGGUUUUGUUUUGCACUCUCUCUCGCGGACUCGUUUCUCUAUUACUAACGCUAACCACGGCUUGUAGUUGUGUUUAUAUUUGUAAAUUUCAGUUUCGCCCUAUUCACCCCCCUCUAGGCGACUUUCAAGAUACUAACUAGAGAUCAAGUCCCCACGGUCCCUCGUGUCCUAGGGCACUCAUAAGCCUAAGUCCUUAAGACCCCUCGCGUCUCGGGCACCUCUAAAUAUAAGUCAUCAAGGCCCCUUGUGUCUUAGGGCAGUUAUAAGCCUAUGGCCCAUCAUGUCUCGAAGUAAUAAAGUAACAUGUGUUCGGGGUAGUUUGUUCCCUAAACACUAAAACACCUAACUGUUUAGGGUCCUUUGUUAGCCCUAGGGUCCCUAAGGAGUUCCCGACCUCACACUUCGAGGGCGACUAGAACACAGGCUCUCUAGGGGCCUGGUACCCCAAAGGUGAUAAGGACUCAAGAUAGUUAAUUUUAAUCCUAUCUCAUGAUAGAAGGAUGUGUUAGGCCCACUAGGGAUAAUACGGCCCCGAGAGAUGGACCACACGUAUAUAUGUCCAAGGACGCGAAAGCUUAAUGUGUGGUUAGUGACAUUACAGGCCUGACAAGCGUGCAGUUGCAACAACUUAGGCUAUAUGGCACUCGUGAUCACUAUAUUGCAUGUGUAUCAUGUAGCCAUGUGUGUGCAUGCGAUGUGUAUUACGAAAUACAAUCAGUAAAAUACCAAGUGACACGAACCCCGACAUACAUAGACACAACUUAUCGCACUUGCACUAUGACUGUUAUGGUGAUCACCUUAGAAAGGAAUGACUACUCAUAGGGAAAAAAAUAAGCCCCGGGAUGUUAUGGUACGAGGAUGCCAUACACACUCAUACCACCACACGCGUGCGCGUGUUCGUUUCACCGUUAAUUCACGUGGAUUGUGUGGUGUUGAGUCAGUUUAAAUUCAUAGCAAAUCAAAAUAUAUUUUAAUACAUUCUAAUACUCUUUAAUCUCUAUAAAAUUGGAAUAACCGAAUAAGGGCUAAAUUGAUUGAGAGGUUGGUUACACGAGAUAUGCAUGUGUUGUUUCUCUCGGGAGGUAAUCUGUUCGUUACGGCAGAUGUGCAUGGGCGUGAAUGAGUGACGCAUGAACGUAUGACUGUCGAAAAUCAAAAAUAGUGAUUUGAAGGAGUAGAGAUAACUGAACCAAAGAUCCAGUAUAGGCUCUGGAUUGUACUGAGCAACCCUUCUUUCUUCUUUUGAUUGAUUGCAUCCCCUGUUCUCUUGGGUGCCCUGUAGCGGAAUCUGGUCCGUAGAGAUAAAAUGAAGAAGAAUCUGGCCCAACAGAACAGAGCAGAGCUUUAAAACCUGAGAAAUUUCAGAAUUUGAGUCACCCGACAAAAGCAAAGAGAGAACGGAGAGACCGAACACAAAAGACCACGAAGCGGAAGCGCAGCCGCAGACCGCCGCCGGCGCACGACAUGUCUCGACGGCGGCGUGGAGGCUCCGAUUCGGACGGCGAGGACGAUAGCUUCCUCUACCGCUACCCCCUCCCAUCCGUCGCCGCCUCAGAGGGUGGAGGCGGCAAACCACGGGGCGGAGGCGGGGGCUCGGGCGGCCUCGCGCCGUCCAAAUCCACCGUCUACGUGUCCAACCUGGACUUCGCGCUCACCAACUCCGACCUCCACCUCCUCUUCUCCCGAUUCGGCCGCGUCGCGCGCGUCACUGUCCUCAAGGACCGUGAAUCCCGCCGCAGCCGCGGCGUCGCCUUCGUCCUCUUCGUCAGCCGGGAGGACGCCGCGGCCGCGGCCGCCGAGAUGCACGGCAAGGUGCUCAACGGGCGCACGCUCUCUGCCUCCAUCGCGGCCGAUAACGGCCGCGCCGCGGAGUUCAUCCGACGCCGCGUGUAUCGGGACAAGUCGCGGUGCUACGAGUGCGGCGAGGAGGGUCACCUCUCGUACGAGUGCCCCCGAAACCAGCUCGGGCCCCGCGAGAGGCCCGCACCGUCUAAGAAGUCGCGCCGCGGCGGCGGCGGCGGCGGCGGCGGGCGUGGUCGCGGUCGCGGGGGCCAGGCUGAUUGGCAUUCGGAUGAUGAUGAGGAUGCUGCUGCCGCCGUGGCGUUCGAGGAUGACAAGUGGGCGUCGGUGGUGGAUACAAGGGAAGUGGAGGAGAAGGCGGCUGGGAAGGGAGAAGGAAUGGGAAAGGCGGCGAGGAGGGAGAAGAGGAAAUGCUACUUCAGUGACGAGAGUGACGAGGACGACGACUAAUCUUCAGUGUAUCCUGCUAACUGAUCUUCAGUGUAUCCUGCUAACGUUGUUGUGUUUGACAAUAGAUCUAACGCGGAUUAUGUUAUCAACAGCUUUGUGUUUGAAUCAUAGCUUUUCAAAUUUCAGAAGUUAAUUGAUGGCAGAUUACUUGUUACAGACUUUGUGUUGUUACUGUAUUGUUCCCCUUAUUAUUAAGCUAAUUAUUCGUCUGAACAACAUCCCUGGUUUGGCCACUAUGACUCAUGGAUAAAAUGGCUAUCCAGAAAAGAAAUGGUUAAUCAAAUGCUUAUGAGAACUGCUGGUCAUUAUGCUUAUAUUGUGUCAUGGGCAUAAUAGGGAGCGACAGGCAACAGCCAGGCUGGGAUAAGGCUAGAGAAUAAGAUUGAGAUGAGCUGGGAUAAGGUUAGAGAAUAAGAUUGAAAUGAGAGAAUUGUGGAGAGUUGGUUAGCAUCAGAUAAGUCCAAGAAAGUAGGAGUUAGUUGAGAGUUUGUAGGAGAAGUUGGUUAGCCAUAGGGCUAUUUAUAAGCCGCAUGGCAGCAGGGAAUAAAUCAAGCAAGAUCAUUAUCAAACCAAUCUCUCUCUCUUGCAAUGACCCUCUCAAGCGCCUAGGGCUGCUACCCUAGAACCAAGCCUGCGGCAGAGGGGUAUAACCUCGCCGGAGAAGACAACCAUCCCCAUGGACCGAAGGUCCAUGACAUAUUGUCGGUGUUUUCACUUACAUAUUUUGUCAAGGUCACCAUUUUUGCUUUAGUAGCUUGUUGCCAGUCAGUUAUAAGAUGCUUACUAGCUGUGUAUGCUUAUUGCUUGGUUCUCAAGUACUUCUCAUGUAUCAGUUUUUUUAUUUCUUUUCUCCCUUCUGAUUAAAUGUUUGUAUACCAUUAAGAUGCUUAUUGCAAUGAAUAACUAUGCCUACUGCCUAGACUGGGAAGGGACACAUAUAGGCAGUAUACUGUGUGCAGGCUUUGCUUAACUUUCCUCUAUAUAUAAAGUUUCUCCAUCCUCUUCUCUAUCCAUUUUAAUACUUUAAACAAUAGAUUUAGCAAAACCAAAAUAUGUAGGAUACAUUUAUGAGUAUGACAAAUAUGUACACACGAAAACAAAAAUAAAGUAUGUCUCUAAUAUAUGUAUUCACGUAUAGGAACGAGAUAUAGAGGACGCUACUGGAGAUGAAGGAGAGAAUCUUUUAGAGGAGACUGUAAAAGAGAAAUGUAGAGGACGUUGUUGGAGAUAGUCUAAACAAUGUAGUCUACAAUAUAAAACAGUGUUCUAUACGACCAUAUGCACGAUCUGCUAGCCAUAGUCUAAGGUCUGCAGUAUGCAGCUAAACAAAGUUGAGCAUGUAAUUUCUCUUGUCGUCUCUGUUGUUGUGUAACAGUAACAAUACCACCAGGGUACACAAAUUAAGAGGGAGCAUUACGCAGGUCGGUGGUCCUGUUAAACCUAGACACGAGUGGGAGCCAGCACACAGUCAGUUAGAGAGGUUUGGACUGCAAUGUGUGUAGUACCAUAUGUCGUAUUGUCGUUACUACUCAUCGGUUGAUGAACACAAAAGAGGAAAAAAUUACAAGCUCAAACACCAAUGAGCAUCAAGAUCUUCUAGCUCCUUCCUCACCACAUGACUGUGGUGGGAGUUAUAGCAUAAUGGUUCUAAUCCACCUUUAUACAUGUCUACUAGAUGAACUCUAGUGCUAGAGUGUCCGAAGUCUAGCCUAGCCGUUGUAUAUGAACUGGUUUGUCCUAAUCUAAUGUGAUGUAUGUGAACCUAACCCACCUUAGAUGACUAGAUCAACCUUGAAAACAUUGCUCAAUCCCUCUCUUUUAUAGUGUGAGGAGAGAUAUUAUGUAAACCUCGGAUCCCACCAGCUAAGACCCAACUAACCUGUUCUUAUCCUGUUCCUGGAGUUGUACCAGGGCCCAUGCCCUAGGUCGUGGCACAAUGUUAGAGAUAUCCUUUUUCUAUGCGGUAGCCAUACUUACCGUAGGGGCGGGUAUGAUGCAUCGCUUCAUCGGGCAUCAGAGCUCGUACCGUCUGGUACUAUGUAUUUAGUAGCCGAUGUAGUCUUUUGUACUUGAUAAUACUUUAUGGUACACUAUGCGUGCACACGUGGAUACAAGAUUGAUGCAUGCACAUCAUACUAGUCUUGAGUGCCCUGCAUCCUAAGUCAUGGCAACAACAUGCUUGUCAGCUCUAUAAUAUCGCCCAUCAUACAUUUAAUUUGUAGUGUCUAAGCCUUAUCCAUUAAGCUAACGAUGUGGACUUAUCCUCAAACUUUUAGAUGUGGGGUCUAUUUGCGCCAUACUUAUUAAGUUGCAUACACCAACCAAUUCAACCCAAAAGCUUAAGCUAAUGGGAGGAGAUGGACAAUUCACUUAUAUUAUAUUCCAACACUCUCCCUCAUCUCGAGCCUCUCUUGGGUCUCAGACGUGGAAUAGGAGCAAGCAACAAUUAUUUUAUUUAAUUGCGCUAGCCAGGUUUCUGUUAAACCUGGACACGAGUGGGAGCCAGCACACGGUCAGUUAGAGAGGGUUGGACUGCAAUGUGUGUAGUACCAUAUGUCGUAUUGUCGUUACUACUCAUCAGUUGAUGAACACAAAAGAGGAAAAAAUUACAAGCUCAAACACCAAUGAGCAUCAAGACCUUCUAGCACCUCCAUCCAACCGUACGCCCCGAUCCCACCCGUCAGCUCCGUCCCCUCCAACCGUCCACCCACGCGCUCCGCACGCACGUCGAGGAUCCCGCGCCCACGUCGUACGUCAAAGCCGCAACCGUCCCACCCCGACCACUUGAACCUCUCUAGAGCCCCACUCAUUCUCCCCCUACCUCAUUCGCACGCCCGCAGAGCCAAGGCCCUAUCCCCGCACGACGCGCACGCCAGGGAGGAACCGUCGUCGUUCGCCGCCAUUCCGCACCCGUUCUUCCGCCGACAUUGAGGCCCUGCCAUGCUCUCUGCCACAGUGAGUUUCGCCUCGGUGCUAGUAGCCAGCCGCUUGGAACACGCCCCAAUUUCUCCCCUCUUCUUCUGAUUCGCUCUGACCGCGCUCACCCGCCAUCCUUUGCACAGUCCCGUCGUCCCCGCCAUCGACCCGAGCCACCGCUGUGCCGCCGCCGAGAGGUCCCUAAGGUUCGCCCUGAGGUAAGGAACCUCCCCUGCCCCCUCCAGUUCCCUCCCUCACUCUCUGUCGCGUGUAAUUGCUCGUCGGAGUUCCCAGCGCUGCCACCGAGCCGCCUCACCGUGGAUCUCCACCCUCCAGUGCCCCUACCGCGGUCUAGCUUUCGCCAUUGGGUUCCCCGCACCCUCCCCAAUCUUCCCAGGCCAUCCCAGCCGCCUUAAGACCCCCGGUGCGUCUGCGCCCCUUGUCUUCGGUGAGUUGCUCGUCGCGGUCGCGAACGCGGGCGGCGCCGCCACUGGUGGCCGGAGGAAAGGGCCAAAGCCGACCGCUCGUUCACCCCCAAUCCAAUGGUCCAAUUUUAAUUAACCCGAGCCUAAUCCUAACGGUCUGCCCGAGAUCUGACAGCCUAGCCACAUCGCCCACACCCGCAUCCCUGCCCCUAGGCCCCGCCUGUCAGUCGUCCGAGUCUCGCGCCGCACCCUCGGCCGAGGCGAGAAUCCGUCAGCAGUCCGAGCCCCACGCCGCGCCCUCGGCCGAGGCGAGAAUCCCAGUUGUCUAACCCCCAUCUCCCUUUCUUCUCUAUGCCCGGCGUGGCCAUGGCGCCCGCCACGGCGCAGCCAGCCCUCGCUCCCCAGCGCGGCCGAGCCGCUUAGCUUGAUCCCGCCGACGCGCUUGUAGCCCAAGUCUAGGGAAAUUUCUCUGCUAGCCCCUCAUAACUAAGGCUAAUAGUGAACCUAGCCCUUAGAAAUUGAAAACCAUAUAACUUUUGCAUCGGGACUCCAAUUUGGGUGAUUCAAAUUGCAUAAUUCUCAUGGCAUUUUCGUCUUCAUGUUAGCAGCAAGUUCAUCUGCUGUUUUGAUGUUUUAAUAAAUAUUUAAUUCCUGGUCAGACUAAAGUAAAUUGAGCCUAAAUUAAAAUGAUUUAAGAAUAGGGAAUCAUAGCAAAGGUUCUAGGUCUUGGAACCAUAACACACCCGAAUGAUUUAUGUCAUCAACAAACUAAUUUUAUAUAUUGAUGUUGAGAUACACACUUAGUUAAUGAACAUAGGGAAUCCCUUAACUACUGUUACUUUUGUUGAACCUGUGAUUACUCUGUUGCAUAUAUUUGGUGUAUUGUUCAUUUGCUAUUCUCCAAGUGUAUUGAAUGAAUGAUUGUUUCGCGAAGACAAUGAGCAGUCUGUGUUUCUCGAGGGAGUUGCAGGAGAAGUCCCUGAGCAGCAGCUUGGUGAAGGCAAGUGUACUCUGACCUGUUAUGUCCUAUUUACUUUAUAAUUCACUAUCCCGAAUACCAUGAUCAACCUAAGGAUUGACUAGUUUUAUAUUUACCAUGUCCUUGAAUUACCUUUUGGGGUUGAGCUACCAUGAUCCACACUAUGCUAGUGCUUUACUUUAAUCAAUGAACAUGAUGAGAAUUACUUUAUGAUACAAUGAUUUAUUCUGGAUAUGAUGACGAACUUGUGACACAAAAGGGGGCUCGGGCUGUAUCCUGAGUACCUCUCUGUAAGGACCUGUUCGUUGAGAGACCACCCGAGAAAACAAUGCAGCCAUGAGGGCAGUAUGGGACACUCUUAGCUAAUUAAUUAGAGGAGCUAGAGGUGUAAUUGCUUUGCUGUCGUGCCGUCAAUGGGGUUCGCAGUACAGUCCUAUCUCUGCCGAGGUUCUUUCGUUAUGCCUUUUGUUAGUCACCCCCUGCGGGGAGGAGUACUGUGUUUAUCAAACCCGGAGAAUCCUAACGGACGACUAUGACCUCUAGUGAAUCUUUGUAAAUGCUACAUAGUGAAACCUUGCCGACUCACCUUGGUAGUGUUUAAGGGUAUGGACAACCCGAGACAAAAGGGAUCACGACUCAUGGGUAAAGUGUGCGACCUCUGCGGAGGGUUGAAAACUGGUAUAUCAGUCGUGCUCACCACGGUUAAGAGCGACCUUGGGAUCCUCUUUGAUUAGAGUUACAGAUGAUCUGAGAUACAAUGGUUACAAAUGAUGAUGAUGGUUCUAUUAAUGAUGAUUCAAACUGUGGAUUUUGGUAUUUCCUCUAUAAGGAGGUACUCUUUGGGAUAAUAACUUGGGAUUGAUGGUAAAACUUAACUUAUAUUAAUGAAUAAAACUUGACAAAGUAAAAGCAACCUGCUUUGAGACUAACUCCAUAAAGCUAGUCCAGUGGAUUAGGCUAGCAACCUCCCCAGUCAGCUGCCUGUGGUGGGUUUAUUCACGUCGGCUACGUUUUUAUUAUGUGCACUUUGAUAUAUAUAUAUAUAUAUAUUGUGAGAGAGAUAUGUGGUGUAGGCUAUUGUGUAUUGAUGAAUGAAGAGCCAACCGGUUACAGUAUUUAUAGGGAGAGGAGAUCAUGAGUGGCUUAUAGAAAUAGUGCCAGAUUGAUCCCCUCUAUCAAUCAGUAUCAGGCCUUCCUAGUGUGGGCUGAUCCAGAUUGAUCCCUUACACCAAUCAGGAUCUCUCCUACCAUAACUAUCCUGGUUUCUAUCCAUAAUAGCACAGAUUGUUACCCUAGCCUAGUACACGGCAGGAACUGUUAACACCCCCCCGCAGUCGGAGCGUCGUGGGAAUGGACGUUCAGACUGGACCGGAACUCCGUGAAGACCGAGAAAGGUAGCCCCUUGGUGAAGAUAUCAGCAUACUGUGAUGAUGUCGGAACGUGAAGAACGCGAAGAUCACCCAGAGCCACACGCUCACGAACAAAAUGAAGGUCAAUCUCCACAUGUUUGGUGCGCUGGUGCUGAACAGGGUUGGAGGACAUGUAGACAGUACUGAUGUUGUCACAGUAAACCAAGGUGGCGCGACACAGUGGUGCAUGGAGUUCCUGUAGGAACUGGCGCAGCCAGGUAGCUUCCGCGACGGCGUUGGCAACAGCCCGGUACUCAGCCUCAGCGCUAGAGCGGGAUACUGUUUGCUGACGCUUAGAAGACCAGGAGACGAGACUAUCACCCAGGAAUACAGCAAAACCUGAAGUGGACCUGCGGGUAUCUGGACAACCAGCCCAAUCAGCAUCUGAAUAAACCACUAGCUCGGUCUGGGCAGAGGGACGCAACAGCAGGCCCAGAUGAAGAGUGCCACGGACGUAACGAAGAAUGCGUUUCAGUGCAGCAAGGUGAGGCUCUCGAGGGUCGUGCAUGUGAAGGCAUAUCUGCUGUACUGCAUAUGCAAUGUCUGGCCGAGUGAAAGUGAGAUACUGAAGUGCCCCGACAAGGCUGCGAAAAUCCGUAGGAUCAGCCACUGGGUCCCCAACAAUGCUAGAAAGCUUUGGAUUAAGAUCAACGGGAGUGGAGCAGGAUUUGCACUCAGUCAUCCCAGCGCGGUCAAGAAUGUCAAUCAUGUACUGUCGUUGGGAAAGGAAUAAUCCACUUGGUGUGCGCUGAACCUGCAUCCCCAGGAAAUGAUGGAGUUCGCCAAGAUCCUUCAUUGAGAAUUCCUGCUGGAGGGAUGUGAUGGUGCGUCGUAGAAGACUGGUGGAAGAAGCUGUCAAAACAAUAUCAUCCACAUAUAGCAGCAAAUAUACCAUAUCAUCACCACGGCGAAAAACAAAUAAGGAGGUGUCACACUUGGUUUCUACAAACCCCAUCGAGAGCAGAAACGUGGCAAACCGACUGUACCAAGCCCGUGGAGCCUGCUUCAGACCGUAUAGAGAUCGAUUCAGUCUGCAAACGAAGUCUGGGUGAGCAGCAUCAGCAAAACCAGAGGGUUGAGAGCAGUAUACUGUUUUUGACAAAGUCCCAUGAAGGAAGGCGUUCUUAACGUCGAGCUGAUGAAUCGGCCAGUUGCGAGUUAGAGCCAAAGUGAGGACCGUGCGAACAGUAGCAGACUUCACAACAGGACUGAAAGUUUCAUCAAAGUCAAUUCCAGGGCGCUGUGAAAAACCACGGAGAACCCAGCGCGCCUUGUAGCGCUCAAGAGAGCCAUCAGCAUUGAACUUAUGUUUGAAUAUCCACUUGCCAGAAACAACAUUGCAGGAGGGAGGACGAGGAACAAGGUCCCAGGUGUUGUUACUCUGUAGAGCAGAGAAUUCGUCCUCCAUAGCCUGACGCCAAUGAGGAUCAGCAAGAGCAGUGCGAUAAGUCCGUGGCACUGGAGACAAUGCUGCAACAUGAAACAGAGCGGGUUGGCGAAAUCCCAGCUUAGCACGGGUGGUCAUACGGUGAUGAUUGACCACCGGGGAUACCGGGAUCGCCCCAGGUGGCAGCUGAGGAGGAGCCGGUGAUGAAGAGGUGGCUGUCGGUGGAGGAGCAGCCACCGCCGGUGCAGGAAGUCGGCGGGAGUAGACGAUGCCGUCGAAGCGUCGUGGAGGUGGCUGUUGGAUCGUAGUGUGUCCAGUCCCAGCAGAAGGUCGGCGCUGGACCUCUGCCGAGCCUGAGAUGUUCCCAGGGGCAACAACAGUGGUGCCCUGGGUGUGCUCCGGAGGUGAUGUAGGGCUGACGGACGUCGGGGCCUGGGUACUUCCCGGGGUUGAGGCGGGAGCAGGCAACCAGCCCGGACUGGUGGGCGCCGAGGCAGCAGGACUGGCCGCAUGUGGCUGUGCGGUGGGUCUGCUAGGCGCCGGGGGAGCAGUACAGGCCGCACGUGGCUGUGCGGGAGUCGCCGAGAUUCCUGCAGGUAGAGGAGAACGUGCUAGUCCGAUGGGAGUAGGCACGAGAGGGUUAGUGUCCAGUAAAAAAUCAAAGUCCUCGACAGAAGGAGAGGCUGGAUGCGUGGCAAAGGGAAACGAGGUCUCAUCGAAGACGACGUGACGAGAUAUGAUGAUCUUAUUGGAAUGGAGAUCAAGACAUCGGUACCCUUUGUGGUGAUCGGAGUAGCCAAGAAAAAUGCAAGGGGUGGAGCGGGGAGAAAGUUUGUGGGGAGCCGUAGCUGACAUAUUGGGGUAACACAGGCAACCAAAAACUCGGAGAUGAUCGUAGGAUGGUGGGGAGCCGAAAAGGGCAUGAUGGGGGGUGGAAAAUUUCAGGGUUUUGGUUGGUAGGAGGUUAAGUAGACGAGUGGCUGUGUUAAGAGCUUUGGCCCAGUAGGAAGGUGGAACACUAGCCUGAAAUAAGAGGGAGCGAACAGUGUCAUUAAUGGUACGAAUAAUGCGUUCGGCUUUUCCAUUUUGAGGUGAAGUGUAGGGGCAAGACAUCCGCAGGUGAACGCCAUGGGUGAGAAAAAAAGUGCGGGCACUGGAGUUGUCAAACUCGCGGCCAUUGUCGCAUUGAAUUCCUCUGAUUGUAGCGUCAAACUGGGUGUGAACGAAUGAGAAAAAAUUGGUGAGGGUGGAAAAAGUGUUAGAUUUGAGUCGCAGAGGAAAUGUCCACAAAUAAUGAGAGCAAUCAUCAAGUAUGACAAGGUAAUAUUUAAAACCAGAAAUACUUGGGACAGGGGACGUCCAAAGGUCACAAUGGAUUAACUGAAAAUUUGUAGUGGCACGAGAUGAAGACACAUGAAAGGGAAGACGUGUGUGGCGACCCAACUGACAAGCAUGGCAUAAAGUAUCACUAGCAGGUUUAUUACAUGAAAUCCCUGAGUGAGCUAAUUUGGACAAAACUUCACGACCGGGGUGCCCGAGGCGUUGAUGCCAGAGCGACGAAGUGGUGGAGGCAAGGAAGGUAGAUGCCGGAAACCGCAGAGGGUAGAGUGGACCGGAGCUGUCACAUCGGACGAUCUCUCUCCGAGAGUGAAGGUCCUUCACAGAGCAACCAAGAGGAUCAAAUUCCACAGAACAAUUAUUGUCAGAGGUAAACUGUCGAACAGAAAUGAGGUUCUUAAUAAGACUUGGGGAAACAAGGACAUUAUUAAGGCGAAGAGAAUCUGUAAGAACAGCAGCACCCGUGGAUGUAACUGGAAUAGAAUUCCCGUUACCGACAAUAAUAGAGGAGGGAAAAGGGUGUUGUAAAGGAGUGGAAUGGGAGAGAGUACCGGCAUCAGAGGACAUGUGGGUGGUUGCCCCGGAGUCGAAGUACCACUCAUUUUGUUGAGGGGGCUGGAGCGUCAUGGUGUUGAAGUUGGAGACGAGCGAUUGCUGGUCCCAUGAUGGCAUGGGAACAACCUGCUGAGGGAAACUCGGUGGUGGCGCGGACCACGGUUGAGGUUGAGGGUGCGCCCAUGUUUGCUGCUGUGUCCCUGGCCAGGGGCCCUGGAUGCCCGUGAGGAGGGACUGGGGCAGCUGAGGAGCUAGCGCAGCCGGCGCAGGAGUGACCGGGCGGGUAGAGGACGCCGUCCGUGGUCCGGGCCACAUUUGAAUGGACCCAGACCAAGGAUUGUAGAAGCUGGGCCAGGGAGACGUGGGGGCCUGUCCAGCUUGUUUGGGAGCACGACCGCCUUUCUUCCCUGCGCGUUUGCCGCGCUUGCCGUUGCUGCUGUUGUUGCCGGAGGACUGCUGCAGGGUCGCCUGUUCUUGCUUGGGCGGAGGUCUGGCGGGGCUGGAGGCGAGUAGAGCGGUGGCCGGCAGGGAGGAAUGAUGUGUAAAGGUGAGUUCCUCAAGCAGCAAAUCGUUCCGUACCUCGAGGAAGGUAGAAAGAGGUCGUCCGCGCCGAAGGUGAAGACCGAUGUUGGCGAAGCGCUCGUUCAGACCGCGGAUGACGUUGAGGACGAGGGUGCGGUCAUGAACGGGUUCGCCAAGGUCGCCGAGAGCGUCAGCCAUCCCUUUGAACUUGCGGCAGUAGUCGGAGAUGGAGAGAUCGCCUUGACGAAAAUUGCGGAAUUCCGCGUCGAGGAAGAGCGCCCGAGUCUCGCGGUUCCCGAGGAACUGAGACUCAAUUGCAAGCCAGGCGGUGCGGGCAGUAGCGUUGCGGGUGAGGGCAGCAUCGGCGAGAUCAGUGGUGAUGGUGCCGACAAUCCAUGACUUGACGACGCAGUCCAUUCGAACCCAGUCAGGGGAAGUGGGCGCGAAGGUGUCGGUGAGUACAUGGUCCGCCAGAGUGUACUUGCCGACGAGGAGGAGGAAGGAGUCGCGCCAUCUGGUGUAGAGGGUGGAGGAGAUGUCUAGAACCACAGGGACAAGAGCCCGGAUGUUCUGGACGGCGACCGCCUGGGCGUGAAGGUUGAUGAGCGCGGCUGCCUCGUGGAUGAGAAGGGCAGCGCGAACAUCAGGGACUGCAGGAUUGGUGUCGAGGUCGUGCUGGUCUGCGUCGAGGUCGGACUGGUGAGAUCCGACGUCGUCGUCGAGAUCAGCAGCGGCACGGGCUUGAGCGGCGCGUGCCAAGGCGUCGCGGAUGCGCGCAUCGGCAGCAUCGCGUUCCCUGGUGGCGUCAGCAGCCUCGCGCUCAGCGUCACGGGCCCGAGUACGGGCAGCGGCGCGAGCGAGCUGUGCCGCGUGAAGGCGCUGGCCUUCCUCCGCGCCAGUGAUGGUGGCAGCAGGGGUGGUCGGAGCGCCAAUCUGGACGGCGUCGGAGGCGCCGAGCGGUGGGGCGGGCGGAACUUGGUCGCCGGCCAUGGAGCAGCGCGCAGGUGCAGCAGCU
Molecule: long non-coding RNA, 48390 nt
Filed under: Zea mays
Lineage: Eukaryota; Viridiplantae; Streptophyta; Magnoliopsida; Poales; Poaceae
Description: long non-coding RNA (ZMAY_LNC004548)
Source: RNAcentral